This 78184-nucleotide long non-coding RNA is filed under the name Theobroma cacao (cacao). Its description in RNAcentral is "long non-coding RNA (TCAC_LNC000848)". The record is from RNAcentral. Lineage: Eukaryota; Viridiplantae; Streptophyta; Magnoliopsida; Malvales; Malvaceae.
UCAACCUAUUUAUUCACCCUCAAAUCUUUCUACAUUAUUUCUGGUGAGAAUAUGAGUUUCAAUUAAAUUAGUCAAAGAGAGAGCAGAGUUUGAGACUGAUAAAAAGCAAAACGAACAAGAGAAUUGUUGGGGCUCAUAAAUGUUCUAGAAGAGAAGCCUCCUAAACUGGCAGCGUCUUGCGUUGGGAUUUUUGAAAAUCAUUCAGGAUAAGGUCGAGCUGUGAGCAAGCCGAAACGGCAGAGGCCAACGCAAUGCCAACUCCGCUCUUCUUUAUUAACCCACUGCAUUGCUACUACAAUUCAAUGCAACGUCAUUCCUUUGAACUGAUUUGCGGUUCCUCUCUCUCUCUCUCCCUUUUUAUCUUUUGGAUUUGGUUCAAAUUUUGUCUGAUUAUUUCUUUCAGCAUCUUCAGAGGAUAAAAGGCUGAAUGCCUACGGCACUAUAAUUCCAACAACACAAUCAAUAAGCAUUCUAAAAGAUGGGCGUUUGCAUAUGAGGUGGCUUGACAUCUUGCUUUUCUUUUGUUUAAUGUGAAUAGGGUUGGUAUUUAUUGGUACACAUAUAUGCGUUUAAAAAUUAAAUUUAUUAUUUAUUUAUUAAAUAAAUAAAUUACUAUAUCAAUUAUUGAUUAUAUAUAUUAUACUUUAAUAAGUAUUUUAUUUAUUUAUGAUAUAUAUUUUAUUAGGUUGAAAUAUUGUCGUUUGGUACUUGGGGAAAAAAUCCAUUUAGGAGCCGAAUUUCUAACUCAAUCAGAAUAAAACAGAUCAAUUCAGGAACAACUAGAGAAAUGGGUUGGCAAACACUAAUCUUCUUAUGUACGAGUAAAAUCAAACCAGAUCAAUUAUCUGUUAAAUGAAAUACGAUUUGAAUAAAACGGUUUAAUUUAAUUGGUCAUAAAUGUUUGGUUUAAUUGAUUUUUUAUUGGUUCUCAGUUUUAAAAUUUUUAGACCAAUCCACUCAAAAAAUCAAACUAAUUUUUAAUAUAUAUUAAUAUAUAUAAUAUUUUUAAUAUAUAUUAAGAAGAAUUGAUAGUAAAUUUAAUUAACAAUAUACUUAAAAUAUAUAAUUUAUUAUAUGCAUGUAAACAAAUCAUAAUCAUAACAAUUUAAUUUUAAUUAUAUAUAUUUAUUUAUUAAUAAAUCUGUAUUAAUAUAAAAUUACAAGUUAUAUAUUUUAAACGAUAUAAUAUAUAUGUUAAUUUUAUAAAAUAUGAUAGUAAAUAUCUUACAUAUUAAUAUGUUAUAAUUAUUACAUAUUAGUAAUGUUUCAUAUAAAAUGUUAUGAAUAUAUAUAUAUAUAUAAUUGUAUAAAUUUAUAUAUAUUUAAUUUAUAUAUCAGCAUUACUAUAACUUAUAAUAAACUUUAUUUAUAUGAUUACACUUAAUAACUUUAUUAAUUAUUACUUUAGUUUUUAUAAUAUAUUAUUUAUAAUUAAUAAUUAUUUAUACAAAUUUUGAUAUAAAACAUUAUAAUAUAUAAAUUGUGUCAUUAAUUUCAUAUGUACAUAAUAAAAUAAUAUAUUAUCUAUAUACAUAUAUUUAAUUUAAAUAUAAGUAUUAUUGUAACUUAUAAUAGACUUUAUUUAUAUGAUUACACUCAAUGGUUUUAGUAGUUAUUGUCUUAAUUUUUAUAACAUAUUGUUUAUUAUUAGUUAUUAUUUAUACAAUAUUUGAUAUAAAAAUUAAAAUAUUAUAACAUAUAAGUUAUGUCAUUAAUUUUGUAUAUAUAAUAAAGUAAUAUAUAUUAUAUAUACAUAUAUUUAAUUUAGAAGAACUUGUAAGAAAUAACUCCCUUUAUAAGCCCAAUUCAAAAAUAUCCUUCAUUAUAAUUUUAAUUAUUUUUAAUCAAUUUUUAGCAUGACUUGACAAGAAUGCCCUUUAAACAAUUUCAAACAAAUUAAAAUGGUUUCGAUUUUCUCUAUUCAGUCAUCCUAAUAAAAAUUUCAAAAUUAAAUCUUGAUUUCUCUCUCUUGCCAAAUACUGUCUAUCUCGUCAUCCUAAAAAGUAAAAACGAUAUCAAUGUAUGUGUUUUAGGUUCUCUGAUUUAUUGGUUCCCUAAAGUUGAGGGGUUGAAAUUAAUUAGACAUAUCUGUAAUAGAACAUUGUAUGACUUUGGUAACUUAAACCUAACUGCGAGUAAGUAAAUCAAUUAGUUAUUAGGUAUUGCAUUACCGGUUUUUAGGUAUUGCAUGACUGGUGUUUAGGCAUUGCAUGACAGGUUUUACGUAUUGCGUGACUGAUUUUUAAAUAAUAUCUACGUCACAAUGCCUAAAAACUAGUCAUGUAAGGCCUUUCUAACCAGUCACAUAAUGCCUAUCAACUAGCAGUCACGUAAUGUCAUACCAACUAAUUAUGUAAUAUCUAAAAAUCAGUUACGCAAUAUCUAAAACUUAGUAAUGUAAUGUCUAAAAACUAGUUAUGCAAUGCCUAAAAACUACUAAAAUUAUUUAAUUCUAUCUAACCAAAACAACAAUUUCAAACAAUACACUAUAUUUCAUUUAACAACAUAAUCAACAAAUAUACUUACUUGGUAAAGAAUGCUCAAAAUGCUCAAAAAUUUUUCUUCAUGUAUAAAAAUCACUGCAAAAUGCUUAAAAAUGCUCAAAGAACAAAAGUUUUUUUACGUGUAUCAAAAACUACUCCAUAAUAUUUAAAAUGCUUAAAGGUUUUUCUUUUUGGGAAAGAAUUCUCCAGAGAUGAAUGGUCUGGCGAAAAAACUCAAAGAAUAAGAAUCGGUUUGAGAUGCAAACCUAAACAUAUGGGUCAGUUUUACUAAGGUUAAUUUUAUUCAAAAUUAAUUUUUCUUGGCUAAAAACAGUUAAGAUUAUAAAAAAAAGGCUAUUUUCAAAAACAUUUUAUGUAUGAGGAGUAUUUUUUAAAAGAACCUUAUAAUUUAUACUCAAUUUGUAUAUUUUGUAAUUAUGGAUGAAAUUUAUAAAUUUUAAUAUUAUAAUUUAUAAAAAAAAAAUUAUAAAAUUUUAAUUCAUUAAUCCAAAAUCAAUCCGACUAAAUCAAUGGUAUAUUUGAUGGAUUUGAUUUUUUUAUGUUUGGUUAGUUUUAAUCAAUUUUUUUAAAAUAUUUGAUCUAUUUAAUUUUUUAGUACGACGGAUCAUAGCACCAGCCUACCUAUUUACUCACUUUUAAUACUUUCUACAUAAUUUCUGGUGAGAAUAUGAGUUUCAAUUAAAUUAGUCAAAGAGAGAGCAGAGUUUGAGAUUGAUGAAAAGCAAAACGAACAAGAGAAUCAUUGGGGCUCAUAAAUGUUCUAGAAUAGAGGCCUCCUAAACUUGAAGCGUCUUGCGUUGGGAUUUUGAAAAUCAAUCAGGAUAAGGUCGAGCUGGGAGCAAGCCGAAACGGCAGAGGCCAACGCAAUGCCAACUCCGCUCUUCUUUAUUAUCCCUUUGCAUUGCUACUACAAUUCAAUGCAACGUCAUUCCUUUGAACUGAUUUGCGGUUCCUCUCUCUCUCUCUCCCUUUUUAUCUUUUGGAUUUGGUUCAAAUUUUGUCUGAUUAUUUCUUUCAGCAUCUUCAGAGGAUAAAAGGCUGAAUGCCUACGGCACUAUAAUUCCAACAACACAAUCAAUAAGCAUUCUAAAAGAUGGGCGUUUGCAUAUGAGGUGGCUUGACAUCUUGCUUUUCUUUUGUUUAAUGUGAAUAGGGUUGGUAUAUAUUGGUACACAUAUAUGCGUUUAAAAAUUAAAUUUAUUAUUUAUUUAUUCAAUAAAUAAAUAACUAUAUCAAUUAUUGAUUAUAUAUAUUAUACUUUAAUAAGUAUUUUAUUUAUUUAUGAUAUAUAUUUAUAUAUAUAUAUAUAUAUAAAAUAUGAUCAUAAAUUAUUUAGUAACAUUACCAAAAAAACUAUACUAACAUUAUAAUAUAAUCCUAAGGAUUCACGCAUAUUUUUCUUGUGGAUUUUAUAUAUAAGUCUUGUUAGACUAUAUAUUGAGUCUAAUACAACAGAGCUAGGAUUUCAAGUUUGAGGGGAUAAAAAUAAAAAAUUCAAUUUUUGAGAGAGUAAAAUUAUAAAAUUUUUAAAAAGUCAAGGGUAAAAUUAUAAAUAUUUAAAAUAAAACAAGGAAAAAUUGAUAAAAUUUUGAAAUUUCGGGGCCCUCCCUCCGCCUCUGGAGUCUAAUAGAUCUAUACAGGAGAGGAUUGUUGAUUUGUUGCUCAUUAAAAUUAAUGAGUAAAAGUUUUUCAAAAACAAAAUGCCUUGAAAAACAAACAAGCAUAAAUCCCUCUAGAGACGAAACACUUGAAUCUCUUUUGAAGUACUCGCAUCUUGAUCUAAAAUUUAAUUUCUUUUGGAGUUGAGGGAUUUGAAUUGUUUUUAAGGUAUGUGUAUAUUGAUCUAUAAUUUUCUUGUGGAAGAUUUUUUAUUUUUAUAUUAUAUAACAAUUGUUGUUAUUGAAUCAAAAAAUAAAAUUCCACAUUCACGAUAGAGAGAAUCUAACUUAUAUAUUGUAAUCCCAAUUUCUAAUUAUAUUGCAUUGUAAAUUACCAAACGUCACCUAAGCGUCCACACCUCUACCUUUUAUUUCCCUUCUUGUUACGAUAGCAUCCACCUACAUGAUUAAUGAUUAAUGCUUAGUAAUUAGUGAUGUUUGGGCAUUAAGUUGAUUUAUCUCCUUUUUCCUCUACUUUUAAAUAAUGGUAAUUUCAAAACGAAUUUUGAAUAAUCCAAUUGCAUCUACCCAUAAAAGGAAAUAUAAUGGUGUAUAGUAUUUUCUUUCUUUUUCUUUUUUUUUUUUUGGUUUUUUGAAAGAGCACUUACCUAACUUGUUGGUAGUAAUGUGAUUGCAGAGAAGAUAACAUUACAGUGUUUAGUAAAUAAGUAAAGUAAUAAUUAAAAUGCAUAGAAGAUAAUAUUGCAGUAUUUGGUUUAUAGGUACUUUGUUGGAAAUAUGAUGUUAAUUUUUAGAAUUAUCCCUAUUUAUUAAAGUACAAGUUUAAUAUACUUGUAUUUUUUAUUAUUAAUUUUUAUAUAAUAUCAUCUCUUAAAUAUAUUUUUAAUGUCAUAUAUUUUAUUUUUAUUUCUUAUUAUUCUCUUAUAUAUUUUAUUUUUGUUUCUUAAUAUAAUUUUUUUAUAUUAUAUAUUUUAUUUUAAUUUCUUUUCUCUUUAAAAGAUAAUAUAAAUUUUAUUAAUAAUUACCAUGACUAUUGAGAAUAAUAAAAAGAUAUCCCUUGAAAUUUAUAUAUAAAAAACAAAUUAUAACAUUAUAAAAUAUUUUUAACAAAUUAAUAAAGUUGAAAGAUAAAAAUGUUUUAAAACAAUUGCAGAGUGUAAUGCAAUCUGAUUGCAUUGGUUUUGGAUUGCAAUUACAUUACAUUUAUUGACUGUAAUGUGAUUGCAUUACAAUCUUACAUUAUAGGGAUUUAUUGCAAAACAAACACUGUAAUAUAAUUUAAUUGAAUACAUUACCGAAAAUGUACUCUCACUUCCCUUAUACUAAAUAAUAUCCUAAAGUCAAACUAUUCUUAUACCAAACAUUAUCCUAAAACUAAAUAAUCCUUAUCUCGUAAAUUUCAUUAAUAUGUGAUGGGAAAAAGAUUAAAUGAAAGAAAAAUGAAAAAUUAAUUACAUUCAAAGUGUCCACACCUCUACCUUUUAUUUCCCUUCUUGUUACGAUAGCAUCCACCUACGUGAUUAAUGAUUAAUGCUUAGUAAUUAGUGAUGUUUGGGCAUUAAGUUGAUUUAUCUCCUUUUUCCUCUACUUUUAAAUAAUGGUAAUUUUCAAAAUGAAUUUUGAAUAAUCCAAUUGCAUCUACCCAUAAAAGGAAAUAUAGUGGUAUAUAGUAUUUUCUUUUUUUUUUUUUGGUUUUUUUGAAAAAGCACUUACCUAGCUUAUUGGUAGUAAUGUGAUUGCAGAGAAGAUAACAUUACAGUAUUUAGUAAAUAAGUAAAGUAAUGAUUAAAAUGCAUAGAAGAUAAUAUUGCAGCAUUUGGUUUAUAGGUACUUUGCUGGGAAUAUGAUGUUAAUUUUUAGAAUUAUCCCUAUUUAUUAUAAUACAAGUUUAAUAUACUUGUAUUUUUUUAUUAUUAAUUUUUAUAUAAUAUCAUCUCUUAAAUAUAUUUUUAAUGUCAUAUAUUUUAUUUUUAUUUCUUAUUAUAAUCUUAUAUAUUUUAUUUUCAUUUCUUAAUAUAAUUUUUUUAUAUUAUAUAUUUUAUUUUAAUUUCUUUUCUCUUUAAAAGAUAAUAUAAAUUUUAUUAACAAUUAUCAUGACUACUGAGAAUAAUAAAAAGAUAUCCCUUGAAAUUUAUAUAUAAAAAACAAAUUAUAACAUUAUAAAAUAUUUUUAACAAAUUAAUAAAGUUGAAAGAUAAAAAUGUUUUUAAAACCAUUGCAAAGUAUAAUGCAAUCUGAUUGUAUUAGUUUUGGACUACAAUCACAUUACAUUUAUUGAUUGUAAUGUGAUUACAUUACAAUCUUACAUUAUAGUAAUUUGUUGCAAAACAACCACUGUAAUAUAAUUUAAUUGAAUACAUUACCGAAAAUGUACUCUCACUUCCCUUAUACUAAAUAAUAUCCUAAAGUCAAACUAUUCUUAUACCAAACAUUAUCCUAAAGUUAAAUUAUCCGUAUCCCGUAAAAUUCAUUAAUAUGUGAUGGGAAAAAGAUUAAAUGAAAGAAAAAUGAAAAAUUAAUUACAUUAAAAAAAUCCUAAAAAGAAACAAUGGAGUCAAGUAAAAAUAAAAAAUAAGCAAAUACCUUUAGGACACAUGUGAUGGAAACCACAAACUAAUAAAUUUCUUUUUUGACAUAGAUCCAUAAUUUUAAGCUAAAUUUACAAAAAAAAAUCAGCAUUUUGGUUCUCUUCUCUCAAUUUAUGACGAAUUUCUUUGAUCCAUCCUUGCUGAAUUAAAUAGAUGAAUUUGUAUUCGGUAAUAUUAGCUACCUAUAAAACAUCUAUAACUUAUAUAAUUUAAAAAUUUAAAAUUAAUUCUAUAUUUAUUCACGUUUUUAUUCUCAUAAGCUGUUAUGUAGAAAGUUAUGAUUUUUAUAACAUAUUUAAAAAAAAGCUUGAGGGUUAUAGAGUUAACCUCGUAGAGGGCAGAGAGAAGGAAAGAGAAAAGAUGUUGAAGCAAAGAGAGAGAAAGAGAGGGGUGUAAAGGGGUCAGAGUAAACCACGUGAAGGGCAAAUAGAGAGAAAGAUAAAACAUGUUGAAGCAAAAGAGAGGGGAUGCAAAAGAGGACCGUGUGUUGCACACGGGUAAUAUUCUAGUUAUUAUAAAAUUUAAAUGUUUAUUACAACAUGUUAGUUAGACACGUGUUCUUACCUUUACCAAACCGAAAAUGCAUGUAAAAUUAACAGUCAAAAGUCAAAACCGUUCUUGAAUCCAAUCAAACCGCGAGUACAUUAAUAUACAAGAACCACUCGCGUGUUUCUGCUUCCACCCUUCGCGCGUUAUUAAGAUGUAAACGCAGCCCCAAGCAAAAAAUUCUUCAACGAUCAUCUUUGUAUUCAUAUUAUUCUUCUUCAAUUUUCUCUGCAAAUCCCAAAACAGAAAGAAAAAAAAAACGAAGAAGAACACCCAAGUUUUUCAAUGGAUAGAGCUUUCCAAAGAACCAAAAUCCUAACCAAUCACCUCCUCCAAUCCUCUCCUUCUUCGCCCGCCCAAAUCCCUUCUCUUUCUUCAAACGCAUGCUUAGACUACUCUCCGCCCGAACUUUCCGAAGGUUACGCAUUUGACAUCAAGGAGAUGCGGCAGCUCCUCGACGGGCACCACGUGGCUGACCGCGAUUGGCUAUUCGGGAUGAUGAUGCAGAGCAAAUUGUUCAACCCGAGAGUGAGGGGAGGGAAGGUGUUCGUGUCGCCGGACUAUAACCAGUCGAUGGAGCAGCAGCGGGAGAUGACGUGGAAGCGCAUCGUGUAUUUGUUGGAGAGAGGAGUUUUUAAAGGGUGGUUAACGGAGAAAGGAGAAGAGGCUGAGAUGAGGAAGUUUGCUUACUUUGAAGCCUUGGGUCUCUUCGAUCAUUCCAUUGCGAUUAAGCUCGGAGUUCACUUCUUCUUGUGGUGCGUUAUACGCUUUUCUUUUCUUUUUAAAAGUGUUGGAUUUUGGUUGUGUUGUUUUAUUUUGCUUUUGAAAAUGUACAAUUUCACAUUUUGGUUGAGUAUUUGUGAUGGGUUUGGAUGGAAAUGGAGAUAGGUAUUUAAUUACACGCAAACAAAUGCAACUCUGCAGAGUUAUAGACUCCCUUUGAUGGCUAUUUUUGCUAAUUACUUUUUGCUUUUGGACGCAAAGAAAAUACAUUUAGAUACAAUAGAAAACACUUAACAGUUUUAAACGUUCAAAAUUUGAUUUUUUUUUAGUAAUAAAAUGCAUUAUUUUACUUUCUGUGGAGUAAUUUUAGUUGAAAAUAUGUUAUCCUUAAUCUUUUUUUAAUCAAAUAUGAAUUUGCUUUUUAGCAACCUCUAGAAAGUAAUGAGUACUGAGCAGUACGUAUCAAACCAACAAUCCAAUGUCUUGUCAUAUUGAAGUUCAAAAUCCAGUUGGACCAAGGGCUGUUUGUUGCCUUACACUUCAUUUAAGUUCUUAAUUACUUGUUGUAGACAUGCCCUUUUAGCCAACGUGUUUGAAGUAGAACAGAAGAAAUUUGAAACUCAGUGCUAUACUGUCAUAAAUGUUUGCAGGGGUGGUGCCAUCCAAUUUUUCGGUACAAAGCACCACCAUGACAAGUGGCUGAGGGACACUGAAAAUUAUUUGAUCAAGGGUUGCUUUGCAAUGACUGAGUUGGGGCAUGGAAGUAAUGUAUGUAAAGGUUGUCAAGUCCUUUAGUAAUGAGGAUCAAGCCUUUGUGUGAUUUUUUAUGUAGUUUUCUGCUCUUUUUCCUGAUUUAUUCUGGGUUAUUGUUUUUAGGUUCGUGGCAUUGAAACAGUAACCACAUAUGAUUCAAACACAGGGGAGUUUGUCAUUAAUACUCCUUGUGAAUCAGCUCAGAAGUAUUGGAUUGGUGGGGCAGCCAACGUAAGAACUUGUCUUAAAACCAAACGCUAUCUCUCCUUUCACCAUCUUUUUAGAUUCCUUUGCACAUGUGAAUAUUCAUUUAGCUGUUUUUAUGAUCCAUCCCUCAGUUUUGCCUAUAUGCUGACAUGCUAUGCUCCUACUGUUGCUUUGUUGCCUAGCAUGCAACACAUACAAUUGUGUUUUCACAGCUAAAUAUCAAUGGAACCAAUCAAGGUGUUCAUGCAUUUAUAGCCCAAAUCAGGGAUGCUGUUGGUAAUGUAUGCCCAAACAUUCGCAUUGCUGAUUGUGGUCAUAAAAUUGGUUUAAAUGGUGUUGAUAACGGUCGAAUCUGGUAAUUUUAUACCUACACUUAUACCAUGAAUUCUAUAAUCUUUUUGUUUUCUUAAAAAAAAAAAAAUUCUGAUCUAGAGGCUUGUGUAUGUGAUUUCAGGUUUGACAAUGUUAGAGUGCCCAGAGAGAACUUGUUAAAUUCAGUUGCUGAUGUGUCAGCUGAUGGAAAAUAUCUAAGUUCAAUAAAAGAUCCAGAUCAGGUACUCCUAUUUGAGACGACUGGUAUCUGCUUCUAGAGCCAUGUAUUGUCCCAUAACAGGAUCCUUGUUUAUCUGGUAACAAUGUAUUGGUGGCACUUACAUGUCUGUUGCUUUAAUUCAGAGGUUUGCUGCAUUCCUGGCCCCGUUGACAGCAGGUCGUGUUAAUAUUGCAGUUAGUGCAGUUUACCAAUCAAAGGUAUCAUGGUAUCUUUUUUUUCAAGCAUCGUCCCUUCUAUUGGCAGAUGAAGGUGGCAUAUUUUUGUAAUUUGGGGUGUGGGGUGGCAGGCCACUAAUACCAAAUGGAAAGGUUGCUGAUAUCAUGUCAAUGCUCUCCUUUCAGGUUGGCUUAGCAAUUGCCAUUAGGUAUGCAUUAACAAGGCGGGCUUUUUCUGUCAAACCAAAUGAACCUGAGGUCUUAUUGCUUGAUUACCCAAGUCAUCAACGACGACUUGUGCCUCUCCUUGCAAAGACGUUAGUAUAUUUACAGUUUAUCUUAUGAAAUAUGUGUCAUCCUGAAGAUCUUAUGGAGUUCAGUUUGUGUUUCGCACUUCUAAUUACAAUGCUUGUAGCUUGACUCACCAUGAAGAUGUUUUUCUUCCCUGCCUUGGUAGAUUAUAUAAGUCAUUCUUUUCUAUGCAUAUAUAGAGAAACCGUAUGUUUCCCCAGCAUUUGCUCAUUUUAAUAUCCUGCAGGAGUAGCGCAGUGGGGUUGUGUUUUUUUUUUUUAAUUUCUUUCUGGUUCAGGCUGAUAUUGAUGCACUUUGAGUGUAGCGUUAGUGGUUUAGAACUUUAGAUGAUCAAGACAGGGUUAUUUAUUUGGCUGCUAACAACAUAUAAGGGGUGAAAUUAAUAUUUUAUAUGGUUCUCUAGGGUGCGGAUUUUAUUUGUAUUUGGAUAACCAUCUCUUCUUGUUGGCAUAUUUUAUGAAUAAACAUCCCAAGAUUAGAUCUUGGAUACAAACACCUGAUCCUUGUAUGUGGAGUGUCAACUAAGUUAAUUAUAAGAACUUAGCAUAUACUUUAAUUGCUAAUUUAUUCGAAGUUAUAGCUAGGGAGGUUUGGUCUUGGAUUUUAAUGUUGGCAUAAAGUUGAUGAAGACACAUAUUUCAAUUCAAUUAUUUUGUGAUGGGACCUAUAAUAAUUUAGUUAGAGCUGCUGCUUUUGAUUAAUGCUCCUUUGUGUGUGUGUAUUUGCUUUCAUAUGCUGCAGCUAUGCUAUGAGUUUUGCAGCAAAUUACUUGAAAAUGUUGUAUGUGAAGAGGACACCUCAGUCAAACAAAACCAUUCAUGUAGUUUCAAGUUCAUUCAAGGCUGUUUUUACAUGGAAUAACAUGCAAAUACUUCAGGUGAGCAACAAAUAAUUGUGGAUUUAGUUGAAUAUAUUCACAGUAAGUGUCAUUACAGAGGUUCAAUUGUUGAAUACUUCAGGAAUGUCGUGAAGCUUGUGGAGGACAAGGAUUAAAGACUGAGAAUCGUGUUGGUCAUCUUAAAGGUGAACAUGAUGUGCAAUCCACUUUUGAGGGGGACAAUAAUAUUUUGAUGCAGCAGGUAACUUGUUUAUCUUGUUUCCUGACAAAUUUUCUUUGACAAGGACAACUGGUUACAGCUUACAACUAAUGUAAAUUGUCUGAGAACAUGACCUCAAAGAAAAAGGAAAGCAUUCAGAUGCAGAAUUGGGAAAUGAGUCCUGUUUAUGUGUUUCGGGAUUUUUUAUUUUUAAAAGAAUCAAGAUGAUUAUCUGCCUCCUUGGCCAUGGCCAACAAGUUGUGUAGGUUAAUCUUAAUUGUCUUCCUGGAUUUUGUGUUCAUAACAUACUAAGGAAUGGUUAACCAUAAUUUCUUCAUGUUAUCUGCCAAGGUCUAACUUAACAGUUUAUUGCUUAUUUUCUUGGCAUAUAUUUAUAAAUAUUAAAAAAGUAUUAUACUCUAUGUUUAUUAAUUAAGAACUCUGUUUAAAACAGUGAAACUUAUGGAUUAAACAUGUUUUAACUCAGGUCAGCAAGGCUCUUUUUGCUGAAUAUGUUGCAGCUCAGAAGAAAAACAAGGCUUUCAAGGGUCUGGGCUUAGAACACAUGAAUAAACCCUGUCCUGUCAUUCCAUCACAGCUUACUAGUGCUACCCUCAGAUGCAGCCAAUUCCAGGUAAAAUAAGAUUAACAUCAACUUUGCUACUCUUAACAUUCCAUAUAAAAUUAUAUGGGCAUCUCUGACUGUUGUCCUAUGUCAGAUGGAUGCCUUGUGCUUAAGGGAGAGAGAUCUUUUGAAAUGUUUUGUCCUGGAUGUCUCACAACAUCAAGCCAAGGGAGAAAGUAAAGAGCAUGCUUUCAUUAUGGUGAGGAAGCACUUGUUUUAUCUAUAUGGAUAUCCUUUUCUCCACCUUUUAGUCUAAUUGUUGAAUCACUUUUCCUAACCAGAGUUAUCAGCUAGCAGAGGAUUUGAGCAGAGCUUUCUCAGAUCGAGCAAUAUUCCAAAAGUUUGUUGAGGCAGAAGCAACUCUAGCUGCCGGUUCGUUGAAGGUGAAUUAGUUAGUGUUUCUCAUAUGAGCAUCUAGCAGUAGCAUCCACUUGAUAUUCAGUCUAAUCUAGAAGUGGUGAAAGUGAACCUGAUCUAAAUUAACUUGGCCAGCCCUAACAAAACCCUGUCCAAGCUAAUCAAAAUUGAAAAGUCAAUGGCUUGAGCUUGAAAUGACCAAAGCUACUAGAACCUGAUUUUUAUCUACGGUAUCAUAAAAGUGGCUAAUCUGAUCUAAAUGUACAACCUGUCUCACUCGACCUAACUUGACUUGAAAAGUUAACUAUAACCUGGUUUAACCCAAACCUGAAACAAGUCAAACCUCACCUGCGCUGGCCAAUUACCAUUUCUAGUUUAGUGAACCUGCCCCUCACAGCAAAGUUACAGGAUACUGUGGGAUGAAUAUGACCAAAAAAUGAGAUAAAUAGAACAAAUUGCUAUCAUAUUUGUGAGUCGCAGAUGGGUGAAAUUCUCUGCUAUUUGCAGAUGGAAGUGAUCUAUAUAUUCAAGAAACUAUGCACGUUUGUCAAUAUAACCUUGAAAGCAUGCUUCAGGUGUUACAAGAUAUUUGCAGCUCUUUGUGUAUUAGCCAGGUUGUUUAGUCUUCACUUUCUUCUGCUGCAGGAUGUCCUAGGUAUGUUGAGAUCAUUGUAUGCCUUAAUUUGUAUUGAAGAUGUUGCAUUUCUCCGAUAUGGGUACCUGUCAGUGGACAAUGCUGCUGCUGUGAGGAGAGAAAUAACAAAAGUCUGCAGUGAACUUCGACCACAUGCGCUUGCUUUAGUCAGUUCCUUUGGCAUUCCUGAUGCUUUUCUGAGCCCUGUAGCUUUCAACUGGAUUGAUGCAAAUUCUUGGUCUUCGGUUCAGCACUGAUAGGAUGUUACACUUGCUUCUAUUAAAUUUUACUUAAACCAGAAGGCCUACUCAUUGCUAGCCACUCUUUUUAAGUCUUUUUAAUAAGAGAGCCUUCAUUGUUAUAGCGAGAGAAACCGUCUGUAAACUGUUUAUUAUAUUAAUAAAUUUAAUAAAUUUUAAAAAAAAAAUGCAUAGAAAAGAGUAAGUAGCAAUGUUGAUCUUGUGCUUCGCCCGAGGGAAUAUUAUCAUAAGAAGCAACUCUCUUGCUUUCAUCGUGUUUAUAUUGGCGAUCUAGUUGGAUGAGGUUUAUAGUAGUUAAGACUCGUGCUAACGUGAAAGGGAACAAAUCAGCAGUGUGCUUUCUUCAUCCUGCUCCUUGGUGUUGGGUAACUUGCUGGGCUGUUGUGGGUUGGGCUCUCACCUCCAUUUCUUUCUUCUUUCUUUUCUUGGGUUUAAUUUUCGGUCUUCUUUCUUUUUCUUGAGUGACUCGGAUCCGAAGAAGACAGAAAGGAUCGACUGUCCAGAAAGCCCCUACGUCCACUAACAACGGUUUUAAUCUUUAUUCUAUAUCUAUUUCUCUUUUUCUUUAUUCUUACAUACGGUUACGUCCCUCUUUGAAUCAAAGCAUCCAACAGCUUGUGUCUGAUCUCUGAUGACUGGUGAAGCUUAAAUUUAUCAUCCAGAAACUCCCACGAGAAGAACAAAAGAAAGAAGAGGGGGAGAUGAGAUGAUUCUACCAGUAGUAAAGCUAGGAACCCUUGCACUAAAAACCGUUUGCAAACCCAUUGCUAAUCGUCUCAAGAAAGAGGCUGGUUUACAUCCCAGGUUCCGCCAAUUUAUCAUCAACAUUGCCCAGGUACUCCUUUUCUUUUUCUUUCCUGUAAUCAAAACUGAGCUUUUGUUAUUAUUGUUUUUUAACCGGUUUCCAGUAUGCUGAUUCUGGGUUGUGUCUUUUUUUUUUUUUGGCGGCUUUGCUAUUGGCUAGUUGUAUGAACUCUGAUUAACGUCCCCCAACCCUCCAGUUAUGGUUUUGAUCUAAUAUUAACACUGUGUUAAGUUUCUGUGUUAUAAUUAGUAGCAUGCCUCUUAUCUCCCUAAUUGCUUGCCAGUUAAAUUUAAACAUUUUUAAGUAUGCAUUUUUUAAAUUGUUAGGGGUUAUGUUGCUCCGUAAUUGAACUUUUAACAUCUGAUUAGCAUCUAUUUAAAUAUAUGGAAUCUUCAGCUCCUGUUCGUAGCUUGACAGGCUGAUAAUUAGUACAAUUCAGCCAUUAAUGUUCAGUUUCUACCUUUGGUGAGAUGUUGGUAUGCAUUCUAUAGACAGAGUUUCUUGCCUAUAGUUUAAAGGUGCUUCUUGUUGGCUUUCUUCCCUGAGUGGGAAGGACUGCUUAUGCGUGUCUCCAUGCACAUGCUCUCAUUGUAUGUUCUUUUUGUUUCUGCGCAGCGCCUUGUAUGUUCUACUCUGCCUAUACUCACUCAGACUUAUAGUAACAUGUUUUAUAAAAUGAUUGAAAUGUUCUGAACUUUCUUCUCUAUCAUCUACGAACUUGUUAGUUAGUUCAAUUUUAUUUGUUUUUUUCCCAAUCCCAAAAGGAGCAAGAAGCCUUUUAUUACCCACAUUUGCAGAAUAUAAAACCAAAUUUUUUCAAAAAAGAAAAGAAAAAAUGUUUCUUUUUUAUUUUAAAUUUGUAUGAUUUUGUUUUUGAUACUGAAUCAGGCAAAUCAUCAAUUCACGACAAAAAUGCAAAGACGUAUUUAUGGUCAUGCAACUGAUGUUGCAAUACGCCCUUUGAAUGAGGAAAAAGCAGUCCAGGCUGCUGCAGAUCUUCUAGGGGAGCUCUUUGUAUUCACGGUACUUUUCCUGUUCCAAUUUCUUGUUCUUGAUCUUGAUAUUUGUUCAAGUGUACUCGGGUCUGUAACUACAUUUAUUCCUCUGUAUAGUUUGUGUUAAUGUCUUUCUGCGUAAAAGUCAGUAUUAAAUAACACAGGCUCUAGACCUUUCAUAUUUAAAAAAAGGUUGAUGUUAUUUCUCAUUCGCUGGUUUAGGCUUCUGUUUGCGUAAUGUUCUGAUGUCAAAAAUGCAUGCCAAAGUCGAAGAGGUUGGUCGGUGUGGUACUGGAACCAGACUACAUAUGAACUGCAUUCUCCAGUUUCAGUAGAUUAUUUGGGUACAGCGUCAUAAAAUUAUUGGCAAUAUACUUCGAAGUAUUUAAUGAUGCAUUUUGAAAACUUUAGCAAUUUUCUCUUUGAAGUGAUAUUAUGAACCCUCUGUAAAUACAUACCAGCAACUCCUCCCCUAUGAUCAUCCCGCUAUGGUAGAAAAUUCUAGUCUGGUUAAUUUUAAAAAAAAAAAAAGAGAGAAAGAAAAGUCUAGUCUGGUUACUCUUAACAAUUGCACUGAAUGCUUGUAGAUAAGACCUUAACUUGAUUGAGUAUCAUCAAAAAGGCAGAUGACUGUUAGGUUGCUCUCACAUUUUAUCCAGUUAAUGUUCAUGUACAGUGACUUUCCACUGGCAAAUGUUCUAAGAAGAUUGCAUUUAAAGUUAGACAGUUCAGGCAGAAAGAUGCCAAUGGCUUGUAGGGUGAAUAGAAACAACGGGACAUAUACAUUCAACUCAAGUCUGUUUACUGAUGAAUUUUACUCUCAUGCAAAGCAUAAGGGUGAAGCCUCUUUCAAUGACAACUUUUCUCUUACAAAGCUCAUUGUAGUAAGAUUUCUGAUACUGUUUGAAAUAAUCCUUAUUCUUUCUCUCUUUAGGUUGCUGGAGCUGCUGUUAUUUUUGAGGUGCAAAGAAGCUCCAGAUCAGAAGCAAGAAAAGAGGAGCAGCGCAAACAAGAACUGGAGGUAUUUCUUUCUCUCUGAUUGAGGUUACUGCUGUAAUAAAUCUUUCUCUCUCAUAUGGUGUUUUGUUUUAUUGUUUACUGUAAGUACAUUGUAUCGAUUGGUAAUGACUAAAUCUUUCAACAAGGUCUUAUCAAGUUUGGAGUUAAUCAACUUUUAUUACUGAACAUUGGUGGUUUCAGUCUUGUAAUGAUGAGUUUUGAAGCGAUUUAAGUUUUAUCGACGAACUAUUUUUAAAGUUGUGUUCAUGCAACGAUGCAUGUUGCCAUCAUAGUGAGGCAAAUGCAUACUCUUGUUUAUUAAUGGUUAGUCCUUUAUCUACUGUCUAGGCGAUGAAACAAAGAGAUGAAGAUUUAGCACAAGAAGUUGAGCUACUUAAACACAAAAUUGAAGAGCUAGAACAACUGGCCAGAGGACGAGGACUUACUGGUUUAUUCAACUUCAGGCAUGCGCAUGGCGCUGAAGAUGGAAAAGCACAACCGUCUUGAUUAUCACAGAAAUCAAGCUCAGCCCAAAGCUUUGAUGUGAAAACAAAUUUACUUGAGUUUAUUUACAACAGUGGUCGAAGUGGGUGAAUUUUGGUUUCAUUGUUCCUACAAUUUGUGUACAAAAGCUUGGGAUAAGUCACGUGGCAAGAUACCCAACUGUACAAGCUGUCCACAGAAGUCCUUCGAGCUCCAAUAAAACAAUAAAAAAAAAGAAAAGCUUCACAUAGUAUCCAUUUAUCUGAUAUGAUACACUGGGCUUGGUCGUAAUUGGAGUUUUGAAAAUUCUUCAGCUUCUGCUGAAUUUAGCUUGAUUUGACCAUCUGGGAAUUGGAAAAAGUCCCAUUCAGUUCAAACCUGUAUUGGUUAAACGGUUGCCUAAAGCUCCCUGUGAAACAUCAAGGCUGGAUGUUGGAUGGUACUGCUUUUGUGAUUUUAUUAUGAAGCCAACAAAUGAUACAAGGAUCAAAGGAUUAUUAUCCAAUAUCCUUAAAAACCCCAAAGAUGAGUUCAUAUUAAUUUAACAAUUUAAUGUUAGAUUUUCUUUAUUUUAUAAUUUGUAAAUUUUCCUGUUAAUAUAAAUAAGAUAGUAAAUUCAUGAUUAGAAACAUGUAAAUUGACUCUAGCAAUAAAUCAUGUAAUUGUUUGUUGCACCACUCUAGCAGCAUGGCGAAUUUCACUGUUUCCUUCUCUUUAAGACAGAAGUUCCCAACGUGAUCCUGAGGGUAAAAGUUUGAAGUUUUCAACUUCACCCGACAUAUUUAUACAGUUUAAUGAGUUAAAAAGCUACAAAGGAAAACGACAAGAAGUGGGUACUAGAAAUAGUUGCCCGGUCUUUUUCCUUCUUGCCGGGGGCUGCUUCUGCUUAUCUGGAGGAUGCGCUGGACCCUCACUCCUCUUACCCUUCCCCUUCGCAUGUAAUAUCAGCCCUUUUAAUCCUUCCAGCCAAACAAAUCUCUUUAAACUCUUUAGGUAAUGUAUUUUUUCUCUUUAUUUCUUAUGUUUUUUUUGUUCUGUUCUUUUUUUUUUUUAACCCUAAAGUUGAAAGUUGGAAUUUUUGGGAAAGCUUUGGGAGAUCAAAUCAAUAACCCAGUGUUUCUUUCUUAUCAUUAAGCCAUCCUUUAACUUGCAAUCUUAUUUGUUUUUUUUUUCAUGGUUUUGGGUUUUGUAUUCAAUCUGGGAAAUUACUUGUUCUGUUUUCUUAUUAGGGGUUUUGGGAUGAUUGAAACAGUGGAAACUGGAAAGUAGCUAGUUUUGGGAUCACUUUGGUGAAAGGUUUUAAUUUCCUCAUGUCCACAUUCAGUUAUUUCAUCAUUGUUUUAUUUUUUUUAAUUGUGUGAUUUAAGGGUUGAAAUUCUUAGAUAUUAAGGUUUUCUGAAUUCAUUCAUUGUGGUUUAAAUAGGGUUUGGGUUGGGGAGGGCGCAAUGCAGAAUAACUCAAAGAACAAAUGUAUAUCUGCAUCUCACCAGCUGAUGGUGGACAAUGCCAAGAACCGGCUCAAUAAUCUUCAAGAACGGUUCACUGAUCUUCAAGCCGCUAGGAAGGAAGGUCGAGCUGGUGAUGUUGCAGUGCUGGAGGAGCAAGUUUAUCAGAGUCUUCGUGAGUGGAAAGCCGAGCUCUGCGCACCAUCCCCCGCCACUUCUUUACUUGUUUGUAUCUUUUAUUUUAUCAACACUAACUUAAACUUUUUGCAUCAAUCUCUAGUUUGCUGUAAAUAGAAUGGGGGGUAAAUUCUGUUUGUGAACUCAUUGGGUUGUUUUUCUUUUAAUUUUAUUGUUUGUUUGCCUAAGGAUGAAGUAACGUUUGAUUAAUUUUAUGUAGGGUGGUAGUCUUGGAUCAUUCUCAGAUGAUAUAAAUCGAUUGUUGCAACUAUAUGAGGAGGAAGAUGAUGCGUCUAGUCCAUUAAAGGGACCAGCAGUGCUGAAGCCUGAAACUGAUGUUCAAAGCCUUAAUCCAUGUAAUUUACCAGUAGUUCCAGAGGUGAGAGCUAUAUCUCUGAGGGAGAUUGUUAAUAUGGAGAAAUAUUUAUUACUUUUUCUAGCGCUCUCUCUCUUUAAAAAAAAAAAACCGUAGUUAAACACUAUUUCUCUGAAAAGAAAGGAAAUUAAAUUUUGAAUCAGAAGUUUAUGUUUGAUUUUAGUCAAUAUAUUUCUUUAUUAAGCAAGACUGGGUGGAGCCAUCCUUCUCUAGUAGGAACAUUGGCAAAGUCCAGGUGCCAAAAGUUUAAUUUCAUUUGAUAAACCUGUACCCUUUGAACUUGAUUGGUAUGCAUGUUCCUUAAUUGUGUUGCUCAUACUUUUUUACUUCGGUGUGUGCAAAGUGCAUCACAUAAAGGGCAUAAAUUUGUAUCUUUAAAGAUAUUAGCUCUUGUAUGUUGAUUUUCUUUCUCCUAAUAAUAGUCAUUUUCUUUUUAAAGUAAUGAUGGCUUAUUUAAGGACACACCUUCUCGCUUAGAUUUCUGGAUAUUAGACAUGACUUAAUUGAAUUGAUCAUUAUGCUUCCAUUUUUGACUUUUAUGUAUAACCCAUCUCAAACAGAAAUUUAAAGCAAAAGUAUGCAACUGUGUAGAUUUCUUUGAAAGACUCAUUGAUUUAGCAGUCCAAGCAUAAAUCUGUGAAGAGAUAAACAUAUAAAUGAUUCAAUGAUGUUUUCUUGAGUUGAAUUUUGGCAUCAUUAUUUUUUCUUUUCUGGUUAUGUUUUGUUGGUUUUUGUGAGCUUCCAGUGGUUUAUUGGUAAUCUUUCACGUGAAGUCAUUUGCCUGGAAGUGGCUGAUCAAUAAAACACAUUUUCUACCUCAGGAUUAUUUAGUGAAUCAUGAGCUACAACAACAUGGUUUGCAAGGAUUUGAUCCAUGUAAAGUUUCUACCUCAGCUUUGGAGACCACAGCGGUUGGUAAUGACAUAAAUUAUCAAUUGGAUUAUCAUCCAUUUGAUUUACAGCAGGAAUUUGACCAUGGGCCUCUCAUUGGUGCCAAUGGUACUGAAGAUUGUGUGAAGGAUGCUAGCCCCAACAUUCUACCAAAUAUCUCUCCUCCACCUUCUGCUUUCAUGGGACCAAAAUGUGCUCUCUGGGAUUGUACUAGGCCUGCUCAAGGAUCUGAUUGGUAUUAUGACUACUGUAGCAGCUUUCAUGCUACUCUAGCUCUAAAUGAAGACCCCCCUGGCAUGACUCCAAUUCUACGUCCUGGUGGAAUCAGUUUAAAGGAUAAUUUACUACUUGAUGCACUUCGAGCAAAGACACAGGGUAAAAAUGUUGGCAUCCCUCAAUGUGAAGGUGCUGCUACCAUGAAAUCUCCUUGGAAUGCUACAGGUAAGCCAAUACGCUUUUGCCUUUUUUGUUUUCUUGCAGCUAUAGUAGAUAAUGUGGGAUGAUUUGGUUCAGCUUCUUACGUGAAAUAUAGUGUCUGAUUAUUUUGCCCCCUGCUUUCUUUUGUUUUUGGGAAUUCUGGCAUGCAUAUUUUACUUGGAAAUUAAAAACCUUGCUGCCUGUUGUCCUUUUUCUUGUUCUUCUCUGUCCUUUAACCAAACAAAUGUCUUGAUAUUGCAGAGCUAUUUGAUCUUUCUUUACUUGAGGGUGAAAUAAUCCGAGAGUGGCUCUUCUUUGAUAAGCCUAGGAGGGCAUUUGAAAGCGGGAACAGAAAGCAAAGGUCAUUACCAGAUUACUCUGGACGUGGUUGGCAUGAAUCAAGGAAGCAAGUGAUGAAGGAAUUUGGGGGGCAGAAGAGGUCAUAUUACAUGGACCCACAACCUUCUGGCCAAUAUGAGUGGCACUUGUUUGAAUAUGAGAUCUAUGGCUGUGAUGCUUUUGCUUUAUAUAGACUGGAGCUAAAGCUUGCCAAUGAAAAGAAGAGUCCCAAAGUAAAAGUUUCAAAGGAUUCGCUUGCUGAUCUGCAGAAAAAAAUGGGAAGGCUCACGGCUGAAGUUCCUGGAGAUGACAGAUCUCCUGGUAAGGGCAAGACAAAGGCUAGUAAGAAGGCAGAUGCCAGAAAUGUUAGUUCUGCUCAAGAUUAGAUGACCAUUUAAGAUUACAUGCUUAAAUAUGGAUCUAGUGUUUCUGAACAGUCAUCUUGCUGAGAAGAUCAACUUGCUGUGGUGGCAUAUAAAUGAGCAGUUUGUUGUGCAUUUGGCAUCGAAUGUCAUUCUGCAUCAAGCUUGCUGUAGUUGCUAUAUAGACACAUAUCUUAGGGAGUCAUUAUCUUCGAUAACUCUCUUUCUUUUUCCUUCUUCAAUUGCUGCUUGGUGGCAGCUUUUUUCAACAAGGGGACGGCUCGGGCAUCACACCAUAAACUGGGUAUGGAAAUACGUCUCAGAGAUGCUGGGCCUGGGUGCUCUUUAACUGCUUAUGGAUGGAUUAUGUACAGAGUAAGUUGAAAGCUCUAUAUCUGACAGUAUUCUAACCAUGGGGAGGACGGUAAAGGCUAAAUAUAGAUGAAAAAAGUGUAUAGGGGAAAAGUAUUGGUUUCUCCCUUUGAUCAUGCAAGUCGUGGAUUGUUUUUGUCAUCCUUGUAGUUAAUAUACAAUCAAAUGGGUGCUCUUUUACUGCUUUUGUUUGCAGUUUCUAUGAGACAUUAGUAUUUAUGCUUCUUCUUGUUAGAAGUUUGUUCCUUUCUGCUUAUAAGUUAUUUAUAAAUAUGAUGUGCUUGAUUUAUGCUUGUCGUACAUUUGCAUGAGAAGCAAUUGUAAAGUGACUGUUGAGGGAUCAAGCCUGUUCCCCUGCCCCUGCAUGGUUUUAGGCAGAUAAGGCCAGGCCUAGCUGACAGAGAGAAAACAUAAGCGAGUGGGAUGAUCGUCUACUACUUCUACUUGUCCUUUUUCUCAAGCUUCAAACCUUAAAGGCAAACAAUUCUUAAAUGUAACAAUUUAGUAUGUCCAAGAGGCUUAAUAAAUAUGAAAAAUUAUAAAUUUCAGCAUAGCAAAUCUAACAUAACAUCUCAAUGCAACAUACAAUAUAAGCUAAACUUCAAAAUAUCAAACUGAAGCAAACAUUCAACAACAUUUUUCAUGAACAACUAACUUAAAAAACACAUAAGGAAAUUCAAUCUUAACUUUCCAAGGAAUUACACAUAAAUUCCAACAAUCAAUAUUUUAAUAAGGAUUUUAAAAAAUUGUAUAAUAAUAAUUUGAAAAAUAGAUUAUUUAAUAUUCGAUUUUUUUAUCAAUUUGAUCAAAAAAUUUAUAUAUUGAAAAUCGAACCUAAUAGACUAAAAAAAUCAAACAUGAAAAAUCUAAUUUCGUUAUCUACUGAUGUCGUAGACAACAAAAUUCUACUAUAAUUCUCAAAUAAAAUCUAAUUUCGUUCUUGUAUAAUUUGGCUUAUAAAAAAUGAAAUUUUUAAUUCUGUUCUUGAUUUAGGGGUUUUUUAAAUGAAAGUUAUUUAACACAAUUAGAAUUAUCAUUAACAAGCUUUUCAUAAAGGAAAAAAAGAAAGAAUUAUCAUUAACAAAUUGGAUAAAUUUUAUUAAUAUUUAUAAUAAAUAUUUAUAUAAAUUAUUUAAUAAUAUUAAAAUUAAGAAAAAUAAUUUUAAUGAAAAUCAUUAAACGCAAUUAAAAUUAUUAUUUAUAAAACAGAUAAAUCUUAUCAAAAGAAAUCUACAAUAAUAAUUCAGAAAUAAAAUGAAGAAACUGUGGUUCUCUGUCAACUAAAAAAAAUUUAACACUAUCUGUAUUUGUACAUAUACUAUAAAUUAUAAAUAUAGAUAAAUAGAUUAUAGAUAGUGUAGAUAAAUGUAGAUGUAGUUGCUUAAGGUCUCAAAGGGUUGUUAAAAUGGAAAAGGAGGGCCUGAGGAGGAGGAAGGGACAAGGGAAAAAAAGAAAGGUGGAAAGAAAUGAGACAACAAUCCUUGAAUAGAAUCUUAAUUAAGAAAAAUAAAAUAUAAAUAUAAAAUUGCUCAGGUGGGUGACGUUAGAUUUGGCCAUGUGAAAGUGAGACAUCAAAGCGAUUUAGUAGCCAAUUUAUUGGUAGUAAAUCAAAUCAAAUGUUGCCGUUUUAGCUGCGGUAUCCACUCCAUGGAAAACACAACCCAAAAUGCGUGAUGUGGAUCAUAACGUUUUCCAUGUGUGAGUGGGACACAUCACGGGUCUGUCAUUUCUUUGGACUUCACUUUUUUGCUUUUGUAAGAAGUGUUUACAUCAAAUAUUAUUAGGUGGAGUGUUUUUUCUGUCACGUUAAACACGCAAACGCGUGUAAAAAUAACAUAUCCCUAUUUGCCUUUAGUUGAUUUAUCCAUUCAUUGGCUGGGUUUUUUUUUUUUUUUUUUUAUAAUUGAGAGAGAAAAAUUUAAAGUCUUUCUUUUUAAGUAGGAAGAUCCUAUUUCAAUCAAUGAAAUAAAUAUUUAAGUACUUAUUCAUUGACUGAGUUGGUGUCUAUUAAUUCAUAAAACUCAAUUAUUGAAAACUUUAAAAAAGUAAUAUAUAUAUAUAUAUAUGGACUCCAUUUUUUUUAUAAAUGUAACAAAAUUAUUAUUAUUAAUUUUUAAGAGCUCAUAUAUAUUGAUAUGAUAAAUAUUAAUGACACAUAAUUAUUUAAUUGAUUAUGUCUAAUUUUUUUUUUAUUUUUUCGUGGUCGAAAACCUGUAAACCUAGUAUAGUACUUUUCUUGAGAGACACAAUUCCGUUUUUAGUUAGAGGAGAAAGAUAUUGUGAAUCUAGUUGAUGUGGAACUUAACAAGCAUGCCCCAACAAGAUAAUUUAAUAGACACAUUUUUUAUUAUAGCAUGCCUUUUUUGACCAUGGGUUUAAUUGAUUAAAUUAUAUUAGUAGGCAAAAAUUCGUCUAAGAGGACCAUCUCCACUACUCUUUAUAUAGCAUAUUUGAGUGCCAUAAUGCUUUACAACAAAUUAAAAAGAAGGACCUUGCAUGCAUCAAGAUAAAGAUGGAUGUGGUCUGUGUGAAUGGGGAGAAGCAUAUUAAUGAUCAUGAGCUACUUCAGGCUCAGGCUCACGUCUGGAACUACUUGUUCAACUUCAUAAACUCCAUGUCUCUAAAAUGUGCAAUUGAUUUAGGCAUCCCCGACGUCAUUCAAAACCAUGGCAAGCCCAUGACAGUUACCGAGCUGGUUGCUGCACUGCCGAUCAAUGCUACCAAAGCAAGCAGCAUUUAUCGGCUCAUGCGCAUUUUAGUUCACUCGGGCUUUUUUGCGCAACAAAAGCUAGGCAAUAACGACCAAGAAGAAGGGUAUGUUCUUACCCACGCUUCUCGUCUCCUGCUCAACGGUGAUCCCUUGAGUGUGACACCUUUCUUGAAGGCUAUGUUGGAUCCCAUUUUAACAAAGCCUUGGCAUUUUCUAGGUGCCUGGUUCCAAAAUGAUGACCCGACCCCAUUUGAUACGGCGCAUGGGAGGACAUUUUGGGACUAUGGUGGCCAUGACCCAAUGCUUAGCCAUUUUUUUAAUGAAGGCAUGGCUAGUGAUGCUCGAUUGGUUAGUAGCAUACUGAUUCACAAGUGUAAGGGGGUGUUCCAGGGAUUGAACUCGAUGGUGGAUGUUGGGGGUGGCAUAGGUACCGUGGCCAAGGCCAUUUCUGAUGCAUUUCCACACUUGGAGUGCACUGUGUUUGACCUUCCUCGUGUUGUUGCUGGCCUACAAGACCGUGGGAACUUAAAAUAUGUUGGAGGAGACAUGUUUGAGGCAGUUCCAGCUGCAGACGCAGUUUUACUCAAGGUUUUUACUAACUUUAUUCUUAUUUUCUCCUUGUAAUUCUUUUUAAUUUUUUGCUAAUAAUAAAUUAAUAUUUUUUUAUAAGUCAUGAAAUUGUGCAUUUCAUAAAAAGAAAGGUUACUAAAUUCCAUAAUUCUUCAAAGCAAGAUAAAAAAAAUCCCUAUCGGGAGUACCUUGCUCACUCUCUUUGUGCAAAAACAAAAUAUACUUCUUCACAAAAUAUUCUUUAAACAAUUUCAAUUCAAAAUCUCAUAAAAAAAAAAACUCAGCAAACAUGCUUAACAGUUAUCUCAAUCCCAAACACAACAAAACCGUGAACAACUAUAAAACUCAUCAAAUAUGCUUUAGUUGUUUCUUCUCCCUGAACCUAUCAUCUUAAUCAAUCCGAUCCAACUCAUAAAAACGAACAUUUCCUUUGCAGCACACAUUUCAGAGCAAGUCAUCACAAAAAAACACUCAGUUACCACAUUCAACAUGCUGAUUGUAAUCAUCAUAAAAAAGCAAAAUUACUUGUUUAUCGUUUUUGAAAACCUUAAAAAUCACCAUGCAAAUAAAAUAAAAUAAAAUAAAAAAUCCCGAAUCCAUUCUCGUCCUUUUCCUGAACAAAACCACACCUCUAAACUGCAGGAAUCUCUAAAAGUUGAAUCUCAAUUUACCAAUCAAUGCAGAGCUCACACACUUCCAACCUACAACGACUCAACAAAUCGAUAUCCUAAAUCCUAAAGACCCCAAAAGGCAUAUGGACACAAAUAACGCAACAGCUGACCAAAGUAAACCCUUUAAUAGUUUUAACAAUAGUAAAUUCAAGGAAGCUGCGUAAGAAUGCUCCAUCGACCAACCAAACCGAACCUCAGGACUUUCGAUAACUAGAAUCAUUCGACAAAGACAAGUACCAAUGCUUGUCUUUGCAGAAUAAUCCCCGUGUUUUAAUUCCACCUCACCCAUGCUUCAACACAAGCUAUCUCCUAAAAAUCACCCCAACAAAAACUUGUUUCAGGCGAUCCCCAACCAUUCAUCCCCAUGCUCCAUAAAUCAAAAAGUUUUCAACAAUCUCUUAGCCAUUCAAAAUAAAAUUUGACAAUAAAUCCAAAAGACAACAGUCAAAUAAGCCUCAACAUAAUCACCCAAACCUUGCUUUCAAUACGAAUAAAACCCAAGCCCGUGCUGCCAUUUGCCUGUGUGACGCCUUACCAUCGCGAGUUCCAUGCAACCCAAAACCAUAUGCUAAUUCUAUAACCCUCAAAUUUCAGUCUCCUCGCCAUUAUCUCUUUAUAGAUCUCUGGAUUUAUUUCUUAUGAUACCUUGCUGCUGCCCUUACCCCUUCCAACGUAGUAAAUCUCUCCAACAACAUCUGCUCACUUCCAACUACCUUUAAUCCUAGUGCUUUCCCAAGGUUCCAAGUUUCCUUGGCUUCAGCCUUGAUGAUGCUAUUUCUAUUUCUAACAUCACUGUCCGACAAGGAUAUGUUUGUUGCCCUUUCCUCCUUUCCUCCAGAUUUCUUUUUGAUUUUCUUCUUUCCCCCUUUCUUCUUCCCUUUCCCUUAUCUAUUCCUCCCUCCACCUAUUUUUACCUCAAUAUCACUUAACGAACCAACUCUUCGAUUUCUUGGUUUCCCAAACCAUGGAAAUUCGUCCACUUCCUCUGAUGCUCACAAAUUAAUUGCAAGGUUUAGGGUGCUUAGAAAACCAAAUUAAACUGUUCUCUUAAAAUUUGGAGAUUAAAUUUGGUACAAAAUUAUUACUUGGCCAAGUAAAGGCUAGUCUAUAUUUACUAAUGUAUUGGAUUAGCAAGAUUUUCAUACAUGAAUUUGACGAUAAUGAUCUUAUAAGUUUCUAAAUAUUGUUUAGUAUGUACGUGAUCAUAGGUAACACAUUAUAACACACUAUGUGAGUUAUUUUUCUGUCAUGGCAGCACGUGGUUGGGAGAUGAAUUUUGGGUUGUUGGGCUCAUUUCUUGAAUUUUGCCUUAUUUUUGACUUGUGGACUGUGAGUAUUUACCUUUUUGUUUGAGUUGUAGGAUGUAUUUAGGGCAAGAAAUUAUCUGACAUAUCUCUAAUUUUUUGUCGAGUGCUCAAUUAGCCCAAAUAAUAGAGAAAUUAACCAUCCCCUUCAUAUAGUCAAAAUGAAACCAGGUGAUAUAGCAUAUACCUCAAAAACCCCCAGCUGGACAUGUAUAAAGAAGAACCAAAAGAAUUUAAACUCGUUUUAUAGAAAAUUAGGUCAAGAUUUAAUAAAAUAAAACUCAUCUCCACUUAUCUUGUUGUCCUUCUAAUGGUUAAUAAUCUAAUUCUUCCCUAUAAAUAUUGUCACAGGAGUAGAAUAGAGAGAUUUGUAAAUUAAAUGAAGUAGCUCAAACUGAUUAAACUCGAUGAGGUCAUCACUUAUUUAUGAUAAUUAAACAGUGGAUAUUGCACGAUUGGAAUGAUGAAGAAUGCGUGAAGAUUUUGAAGCGCUGUAAAGAGGCAAUUUCACGAGGUGGCAAGGGAGGGAAGGCAAUUAUAAUAGACAUGGUAUUGACGGAGAAGAACCACAAAGUGAAUGAUGCAUCCAUUGAAACGCAACUCUUCUUUGACAUGUUGAUGAUGGUGUUGGUGACUGGAAAAGAGAGGAACGAGGAAGAGUGGGCUACGCUGUUUUUGGCAGCUGGUUUUAGUGACUAUAAAAUCACUCCGAUAAUGGGUUUAAGAUCUCUCAUUGAGGUAUACCCUUAAGAGAGUCUUGCUUUAUUCUUAUAAGAAUAAUAAAACUACUAUUAUUAACUUUCAUGUUAUUGUUACAGUUGUUGGUUUGUACUUGUCUCUACUUCUAUUGUCUUAUAGUACUAGAAAAGACUGAACUCAUCGAUUAAGAAAUAAAACAUUACUUCACUUGAAUCAGAUUUAUUGUCCCGUUUACAUUGGAAUUGUUGGUGUUGAUCUUACUAACUAAAAAUUCUUUCAAUUUCUUAAUUCAAAGGGCUCAACCAAUCGGGUUUCUUGUCAAAUAAAGAACAUAAUUCAUGCGAACCUCGAUUAGUAAUAGUAGUUGAAAUGGAUGAAUUAGCUGAAUUAAUUGCCCCUUUCUCUCACAUUUUUAGAAGCAUAGGUAAUUUAUCAUUAUUGAACAUUGAAAGGAACCUCUUAGCCGAAGCUAAGCAAGUAUACAGCUAACAACGACACAUUCAGUUGUUAGUCCAACAACUCCGUUGUCUCGCCUGAGGUUCGCAUUGUUUUAUUGAGCCAAGGCGAGUUUCUUAAUCGAUAAUAUCUCAUGUUCAAGAAAGGAACCACUCACAAACUAUAACAACCCACAAAAACAACAGCCUCAUUCAACGCAAGACCUUUGUAUAAAAAAAUCGAACCUUUCCCCAAAUUAUUCCCAUGGAAAUCUUGUACAAAAAGUCGCAAUUAAGCAAUUAAUAGUCCAGUAAAAUCCGCAUCCAUUUAGAAAAAUAUCAAGCAAUAAUGCUUAAACCCAAAAACUGAAACUACAACCCAACAAUCACAACCUUUCUAAUUGCACCACCUCAUUUGAAGCAAGACACAAACAACUUAAAAACCUUUAAAUUACCUGAAGACAUCGCUUCAUUUCAGUUGGGCCGUCCAAUUUCUUUAAUUUUCGAUGAUCACCUCCUCACUAGAAUUUAGAAUCAUCAUCGGAUAAAGAUUCGUUCACCACUCUUUAGUUGUCUUCUUCAAUUACCAGAUUCUUCGAUUUUUUCCAACUCGACCCUUAUGCUUCAACAUUGACGCUUUUCCUUUCCUCGAUUACUGCUCAAUUUCAUUCAAGAGGCUAGAUUUUCAAUUACUCAUCUUUGCUAGAAGAGGAAGAUUUGCUAAAAGUAUUUUCCGUUUAACAGCUAUGUCACCCGAUCGAUGCGGUCUUGACGUUGACUCAAUGACUUCCACGGGUUCAUUAUCGUCGAAGCCCAAUGCCAUUGAAUCAUUGCUCAUGACUUGAUCUAGCCCAUCCUGUCCGGAUUCAUCCUUUUCUAGCCCAUGUUUUUACAUGACAUGUUCUACUUCUUCCUUUUCCUUUUGUAGGUUUUAAGAAUUUAAUGGAUGGGUAAAAUAUCUUUACUUCUUAAAUUUUGAUUAAAAUUAUAUAAAAAUUUAUUAAUUUUUAAAAUAAAAAUUCUAUUCUAAAAAUAUAUUUUUUGUUAGACACGUAGGUCAAGCCGUUAGUCAACCGUUAGUAAUUCUAUCAAUUUACUAAGAUAAUAAAGAUAAAAAGAUAAUUUUAUCCUUAAUUAAUUUUUAUAAUUAUUAUUAUUAUUAUUUAUUUUUUAUCAAUUAAAAAAAAAAGCUCAUCAUCUAGGGAGCCUUGAUUAGGCUCCCUAAGGGAGCACCGAUGCUCCCUUCCUUUGAGACCAUCGGCUGGUGCUAACCUCCAUUGGGGAGCACCGAUCUGUUUUAUUUUUUUUCAAAAAUAUAAUAAUAAUUUUUAAAAUUAAUAAAAAUGGUAUUUUUAUCUUUUUAUAAUUUCUGUUAAUGAUGUUUGCAUUUUUAAGGUGAAGUGUCCAUUUGUAAACUAUUAGACCCGUUUAGAAUUUCAACCAAAACUUAAGAGGGUGGGGGUAUUUUACUCUUGAUCGAUUUUCACACCUUCGGACACAAUUAUUAGCCAAUUUAAAUUUUUAGAAACAAUAGUCUCCCUUUUAAGAUUUGCUAUUUGAUUUACCAAAUAUUUGUUAUUGCUAGAAUUCAAGUCCCAUAAUCCUCUUUCCACGUCAUCUUUCACCCCUUAUCAAUGAGUUCUUACUUAAGUCUAUUUGCCACUUCAGCUUCUUCUUCCACCUCCAGGGUGAAGCAUGGUCUCUAUGACAAAUUUGGUCCUAGAUUUGCAUGUGGGAUUACACUCCCCUUCAUAUUUUCCUUCACCCUUUUCCCUUUCAAACACUGAAAUUUCUUGCACCCAAAUCUAGAAAACUUUAUUUGCCAUCUCCAAUUCAAGCACUUCAUCCCAACAUCCUUUUUUGUUUAUCAUAAACAAUUUCCAUAACACUAUAAUACAGAUUAUCACAAUUGAUCUUUUUAUCAUCUAAAGAUACUAACUCACCCCACACACUAGCAAUGUUGUAAAAUGUGUUAUAAUAUCGCCAUAGACAAAAACACUAUGAACCUCAACACAUUUUUUAUUGUAUUUUAAGGUGAAACUUUCAGAUGACGUAGACAGUCUAACAAGUAAUAAUAUUUAGUAUUUUUCUUUUUAGUUAGGAAAUUUAUUAAGAAUUAUAGGAAUAAUAGAAAUUUUCUUUUUAUUUUAAUUUACUUGGACGACAAGUAAGCAUAGCUUUAAAAAUUUAAUUUUCUUGUACUCCAAGGAAGUCCAAAGUAGAAUACUUCUUUAUUUUAGUUUACUUUACUUACACUCUAAGUUUAGGCUAAGUAGGAUUAGACUAUUAUAAAUAAUACCUUUAGACUUAAUUAUUAGACAACUUAUUUCUUUUGAAUUAUUGAAUAAUAUUAUAUUUUUUCUCUAAUUUUGAGUGUAAGUUUUUGCGUUUAAAACUUGGUUAUCAACCUCCAAAAACAAACCCUGGUUUAGAAAGAAUAGAAAUCUCAUGCUCGCUAUUUGUGCCCCAUUGGUGCCCACUUUCUCUUUUCAUGCCAAGUUCUAGUUUUUUUUUGUUAUUUAAUGGAUGACGAAAAACAUUAGGAGUCAUAACUUGUAACGGCUGCAUUUUGCUUUUGCUGCAAUGCUUUAAUCUGUUUUUACUUUGUCUCCAACAAUUCUAUUGCUUCAAAAAGUUCAAGAGAGCUUAUGUUCAACAAGUUUUUUUUUUUCACCGAAAAGGAUCAAGAUAGUGGUGGAUCCAAGAUUUUGUAUGAAGAGUAGCUAAACAGUAAUUAUACAAGAUCAUGGGUUAGGUUAUGAAUCGAGUCAAUGAUUCGAUUAUGAGAAAAAAAUUAAUCACUUUUGAUAUAAAAUUAAAUUGUAACAUAAAAUUUCACUAACAAUUUGAAUUUAUAUAAGUUUUCAGAUUCAUCAAUAUAAAUAGACAUAAAACAGAAAAAAAAAUUAACAUUAGAUAUUCACACUAAGUAUCGUAAUAGACAUAAAGGAGAGAGAAAAAUUAACAUUAGAUUUUCACAUUAAGCAUCGUAAAUUGUGCUUGACGUGAAAAAAAGUUGUGUUCAAUGUGAUUUCAUGCUUCAAAGGAAAAAAAUUGAAAAGAAGAAAAGGUUGAAAAAAGUUGAAAAGAAAAAAAAAGGUUUAGUAUAUUCAUAAAAGAGAAAAAAAAAGAAAAAGGAAAAAAAAAGAAAGAAAAGAAAAGAAAAAUAAUUCCAAGCUUUCAGAGGAACAAAAGUUGAAAAGAAAAAAUGUUGAGAAGAAAAAAGAAGUUUAGUAUAUUUAUAAAAGAGAGAAAAAAAGAAAAAGAAAGAAAAAAGGAAAAAAAGAGAAAAAAAAAAGGAAAAGAAAACUAAUUCCAAGCUUUCAAAGGAAAAAAAGUUAAAAAGAAAAAAAAAGUUUAGUAUAUUUAUAAAGGAUAGAGUAAAAAGAAAAAGAAAAAGAAAAAAAAAUUCCAAAAUUUAGACUUAAAAAAAAUUGAACCAGGCCCCAUUAAGUUUCUUAUCACUACUUCAAAACAACACAUUUGAUAUGUAUAAGGGUGGCAAAUCUAGAUAUUUUUAAUUAUAUAUAUAUAAAUAAAAAAAAUUUAAAACCUUCACCCUUUCCCUUUGUCCUUGGAUGAGGUGUUUUCCUUCCUAAGGAGUGCCUGGUAGUCCCUAAUAAUAUUAAAUACAUUUGCAAAUCAUGAAAUCUUGUUUAUUGUCCAAAGUAUGACAUGGUUUCUAAUGGAGUUAAUGCUUUUAAUAAAAUAUCUGUCUUCAGGGUUGGAUUUGUCAAGAUUUUUUGAAAGAUGGAAUAAUAAGAGCUUGUGUUUUUGAAAUUGAUAUCAAUUCUAGAAGUAGGAAAAAGAUGAAAUAAGAAAAUUUGAUGAAAAAGAGAUUGAUUACCGAUAUUGUUUACAAAAAAAGAAGAUUGAUGCCAUAUAAUGGCACAAGAAUCAAAUAAGCUAUGAGAGUUUCCAAAGCUAGAUCUUGUUCUUUUGAGUGCAUAGUUGGUGGUGAUCUCUAUAUGCAGUUGUGAUUUAAUUCAAAGAUCUAGUAUAAUAAGAGAACGGGCAAAGAUCAAAUGGGUGAAAUUACAACCAAGGGACAAAACAAUUAUUUACUUUGUUCAUGCAAGAAAAAGAACAUGCUCUUGUUAUUGCUGGAAAGUAAUGUUCAGUUAUGGUUGCUAUAGAGCGCUAAGAAAUGUGCUAAAGUGCUGCAUAUCAAACAGCAAGAUUAACAAUUUUAAGUUAAAAUUUUCAUGUCGCAAACCUGUUUGACCCAAAGAGUUACUAUGAAACUCGUGAAUAUUGAGAAGUUAACAAAUUCCACACAUGUUGAUGAGAUGUGUUUGCAUACAACAAAUAAAUCAGCCAAACUAGCAAGCUUUCUAAUUCUUUCAUUCUUAUUAAUAACACAACUUCAUUUACAAAAUGCUCAAUUAAAGUUCCAGCAACAAGAAGGCGUUGUACAUAAAUGAACAGUAUUUGCUCUUUUAGCAUCAGCCUAAGUUCUUGAACUUUUUCUCUACUAAAUAAACAAAAUAUAAGUCUUGUGAAUAGUUUUCACCAAUUUAUGUGAAUCAGUGGCUUAUAGGGUUUUCUCUUUUAAGGAUUUCUAUACAAGACUUUAAGGGUGCAAAGGGAGUUCGUGUAAUAGGGAGAGAAAGCAUUGUAAACAAGUAAAAGAUGUAUCAGAAACGGUAAAGAGGAAGAUCGGAGUAGUUCCUGAAGUAUUGAGUAUCCUGGUAGGUGGAAGAGAAUAGGUAGAGAAUGAGAAAAUAAAUGAGAAUUAGAGAGAAGCCUUAGAAAAGUGAAGUCCCUCUAAUGAAUUGUGAAGGCUCUAUAUAUGAUGUUAGAAGUGACGAUUACUUAAGAAUAGAUUUUAAUACACGUAUUGAAUAAUGUCAUUAAGAAGAGUUUUAAUAUGAGUAACCACUACUUGCGCUUAAGCAUUUGACUCAUUGCUUAGUGCAUAAUUUCUUUCUAAAAAAGAGUAGAGUUCGAAUCCCCUUUCCCUAAAUAUAAAAAAAUAAUAAAUACUUUUCAAGAUAGCAGGAAAAAGCAAGGAAAAAAUUUUAUUAGCUAUCUCCAAUUCAAUCACUUCAUCCAAACAUCCUUCUUUAUCAUAAACAAUUUGCGUAACACCAUAAUCCAAAUUAUCACAACUGAUCUUUUUAUCAUCUAAAAAUGCAAACUCACCCCAUACACUGGCAAUAUUGUAAAACGUGUUAUAAAACUGCCAUGGACCAGAACACCAUGAACCUCAACACAUUUUUUAAUGUAUUUUAAGGUGAAACUUUCAUACUCGAGCUCCAGCUAUAAGAACCAAUUAUUUAACUAGUAUUAAUUCUUCUGCUUCAUUCACUACAAAUAUUAUGGUUUUUCCAAGUUACUCACAGAUUUUCAACGGCAUUUUUUGUCAGUAAAUUAGUCAAGAAAGCGAUUGUAGAUACAUUCAAAUAGCAAUGACAUUUGUCGAUUGGUAAAAAAAAAAAUAGUUGAUAACUUGACAAAGUUAUUGAUAGAUUUCUUACGUAUUUGUCGAUGAAACACCGACUGAAUGGCAACAAAAACGACCUUUGCAAAAGUGGAAAAAUUUGUCAAUAAAUGAAGCAAAUUUCAUUGAUAAAAGAAGUAAAUUUUGUUAAUAAUAUAUUUCAAUUUGAUCAAAAAUACUAAUUGAAUCCAAUGAUAUUGAGUUUCAAUCUUGUUAGUAAUGAUGCCAAAAUUCGUCUAUAAUUUCGUCGAAACUACAAAGACAUUUUUUUGUAAAAUAAAAGUGAUUUGUAUUUUGUUUUGUUAUUGUUAUUUUGAUUGAUUUGGAAUUCAUUGCUAGGGUAAAAUAUGAAAUAAAAAAUUAUAAUUUUAUAAAAACAAAUUAUAGAAUUAUAUUUAUAAAUAUACAAAUAUAUUAUAAAUAAAUAAUACAAAUAGUUUAUGUUUGUUUUCCAUAAUUUUAUCAUGACCCAUUGAUUACUUUUGGUGCAGUUGAAAAGCUCGAAAAUGUCACUAGUCUAUCCAUUGCCUCUAACUUUAAUAGUUGCAAUAACAUCCAUCACAAAAUGAAAUACAUUAUAACAAUCACAAUUAUAAUAUCAUCACCAUUAUUUUCAUCUUCCUCUACCUUUUCUUCUUCUCCUUGAACUCUUUUAUCUUCUUCAUCAUCCAUAUCAUUUUCUUCCUCUUCAAUAAAAGUAUUAACCUCUCUGUAAUUACUACUAACAAGUAUCAUAUUAUUGUCAAAUUCUUACAAUGGAGUAGCAUAUCUUGUUAGGAACAUUUCAUCUUCUUGAUACACUAUGAAACUUCAACUUUGAAUUGAAGAUAGAAAUGUAACUUUUUUUAAGCAGUAAAGUCCAAAACUAUAGUACAAAAAUUGCACGAGUAUAGCAUUAAAAUUAAAAAGCCAAAAAAGUAAACCUAACCAACUAAGAACCAACUCAAUUUCAUCCAAUCAGCUCACAAGCUCAAUUCAAUUUGGCUUGGUUUGGAUCCAUCUUCUAUUAACAAAUACAACAAUUAGUUGCGUAGAAUAAGAUUGAGUAUAUAUAUUGCAAAAAAAUUUUACUGUAUAUUCCACUUGAUCUCUCGAGAUAACAAAUUAUAGCCAAAAUAUUUAAUCUCUAACUAAAACUUAAGGGGGAGAGGAAAAAAAAACUUAACUUGAUAUAUCACUAGUUUUCAGAUUCUUCUAUUUCUAACACUGCAUUAAAUACAAAUUCGUUUCCAAGAGUAAAUGAAAUUUUGAGCUCUUCUAUUUUUUUGGCUUGUGCUAAAACUUUUCUUUUUCUCAUUCAGAUUUUCUUUCUUUACAUAAUCAGUCACAUUGGAAGUAACUAUUUCAUGUAUGACAAACUUGGUGACAAAGUCUUCAACAAGAAUUUGUAAUAGGAAACUCUUUGGCACAUUCGUUGUUUUCCUUCCCUUUUGUCUACGAAAUCCAAGAUUGGUGGCGCUUGUCAUGCCAAAUAUAUCAAAACCUUAUCAAAUACCUUUUGUGUCUCAAUCCCACUCACAUCCACUUUAAGCUAUAUUUUAUAACUUAACUUGGUGAGUUAUUAAUUAAUGUUUUUCGUAUGAGAUAUUUAAAUAUUUACAAUUUAGAAAUUGAUAACUUUAUGAUGUAGAGUUAUUUGGUCUUAAUUUUUAUAAUAAAUUGGUUAAGUUUUUACGGUAAUGCAUAGAAAUUACUUAGGUUUUAUCUAAUUAUUUUAAGUUAGUUAAUUAAGUGAGUCAAUCUAAUCUUAGUUAAAUUUAUGCUUAAAUUGGUGUUCAUGUGCUUAAGAUAGGUUGUUAUUAAUUUAUUUGUGUUUCUAUAGGUGUUUAUUGAAAAAGGACUUAUAAUGGAAGAAGGAGAGAAAUGUUGAGGUGCAGACUUCUACUGCAUAUGUCUCAGUAUUUCAAUCAUAACUUUCUUUACAAAACUCCAAAUGAGGUCAUCCUUCAACCAUUGUAAAUCUAAGAGAAAAAGCUAUAACUUUUAUAUUUCCCACUUUGCCCAGCUCUAUUAGGAAGGUGGUAAAAAAACUUUGUUAAAGUUGACACACUGUAGCAAUCCUAGAGAUAGGCCAUGGAUCAAAUAAUCUGAUAAGGAAAUCCUAGUUAGACUUGACUUUUUUCUAUACCUAACUUGGCCCAGCUUCUAAUCCUUAUAAAAGCAACAUUUUGAAGAACUUUUGGAGACAUGAAACACUAGAUAUAGAGUUAAGAUUUAGCUACAAAAAAUCAUUGAAAAAUGUCUCAUUGAAGUUGAGAAGAAAUUGAGGGAUUCAAGAAGACUUGGAGAUUAAGAUUGCAAUUAUUGGGUUUUUUUUUUUUAUCUUUUUGUUGUUCUUUUAUUUUCUUGGUUUUGAUUUUGAUGAUUUAACUUAAUUUGAUAAUGCUGUGUGAUGAACUAAAUAAUUUAUCUAAGAUUAUGAUUAAACUUAAUACAUAAUCUGAAUUAUUUAUCUCUCUUCUACUUAUGUUUGAUGGUUUUAAGUUUUUUAUUCUAUUAUAUUCUUAAUGCUUCUAGUUGAUUGGCCACCAAAUAGAUUAAAUUGGAAACCUAAGUUAAACCUUGAUGAAGGAGAUUUACGAAGACUUUGUAUGGAAUAGCGUAUGAUCAAAUACAUUUAAUUGAUUAUGUAGUUUAAUUUGCAUAUAGGAUAGACAUACACCUAUAAGCCAUACGUAGUCAGGAUUAGAAUACGAACUUGAUGAAUCUUUCUUCAGUUUAAUUUGUAUAAACAUAUUGUAAGUUAAUUUAGAAAAAUAUUUUUAUGAGAAAUUCAAUAGAGACUCGUAAAUAAUUUAAGACUCUAGGUUAACAACUUAAUCCAUUAAACUAAAUUGAAAGAGAGAGACAAUAUUUAGAGGAAGUAUUAAGGGAUAUCAUAAUCUUAGGUCUAGUAGUUAAGUGAGUUUUAUAAAAUAAAUUUACUAUUUAAUUUUAGUUUCAAUUUAUUAGUUUUAAUUUUUAUUUUAAUAAUUUUAAAUUUAAUUGUUUGGAUAAGAUUAGGGUAUGUUAAUUUUAGUAGUUAGCAAACAAGAAUUAAAACAAUUCUCUAUGGGAACAAUACUCUACUUCAUUACUAUAUUACUUGUUUGCAAUACGUGUACUUGCAUGAAAAAUCAACAACAAGUUUUUGGUGCCGUUGUCGGGGAAUUGAUUUUUAAUUCUUUCUUGUUAAUAUUAAUACCAAGCAUUCCUGAUCUUAUUUUAGAUUUUGCUUUUCUUUUUCUUUGUUUUCAAAUACUUUUGGUUAAGGUGAUGAAUUAUUAUAAUUAUUAGUGGCUAUCUAAACAAUUGGAGCCCUGAAGGGUUGCUAGUGAUUAUGAAUUAGCUAUCAAUGCUUUGACCGCUUUGUAUAUGCUUUGUCUCAAAAAAUUGACACUUGUGGUGUUGGUGUUUUUUAGAGAGCUUUUGUGACAAGCAAACUUUGUGGAGAUAGGCAUUCAAGUGAUUGCUGUCCAGCAUAUUAUGAAUCAAUGCAAUUUGAUGGAAACUUCAAUGGGCAGCAAAACAAUUCAUACUUCAAUAGCUACAACUCAUGGUGCAAUCACCUAUAUUUUUCAUUGAGUAAUGAUUAAGGUCACAAAUAUUCAUCACAGCUUGUUUUCCAUAAUGGUUUUCAGUCACAAGUUAGAGCCCCUAUGCUUGAGAAUAAGCCUUCAAUAGAGGAUAUGUUCAUCCAAUUCAUGACAAAGACUGAUACCUUCAUGGCGAAGACUGAUGCCAUCGUUCAAAGUCAAGCAGCAUUAAUCAAAAAUCUUGAGACACAAGUGGUUAACUAGCUAGUGCCAUCAAUAAUAGACUUCAUGAUAAUAGAGAUAAAAUAGAUCAAAGAAAUACUUCUAGCAAUCAAGUUCAAGAUAAAGAAAUUAAGCAAGAGGAGGAAGUAUCUACACGACCACAAGUCAAGCCACAUGUGCUUCUCAUUUCUUUUCUAGAUAUAGUUGAUGAAUUACCUAAAGAGACUGUUGAUAUGGAAAAUCCAAAAAAACUCCUUGAAGCUUAUUUUGUUCAAGAUGCAACAACAAAAAUGCAUGUUUUAUUGAAUUAAUAAAUUUAUUUGAGAGAUAUGACCUUGAGAGGGUCAAAUGACUUGGUGUCAAACUCAGAAAAUAGCAUUUUGUGUUGUAACUAUCAAUAUCUUUGAAAGAGGUAUCAAUACUUGAAACCCAGAAAAGCUUCUUAAUAACAAAUAUUGAUACCUUUACCUAGAAAGGAACAAUAUCGAUACUUAUACUGAAAGUAUUGAUACCUACGUUGUGGAUUUGAAAAAAAAAAUGGUAAAAUAGUCUUUUCAUAAAUAAAAUAAUACCCUAAACCCUUCAAACUUUUUUUCAUUUUCUCUCUCUAUUCUAGUAUCUCUUUUCUCUCUCAUUUCUACUCUAUUUAUCAUCUUUUUAAGUUAUUUCAAAACGUUUAAGACUAAAUUUGAGAUUAGAUAAGGAAGUAUUGACGAUGGAUUUUUUAAUAAUGUUAGAAAAGUCUAUUAAUUAUGUUAGUGCAAUAAGCUCAAAUGUAAAAAUCCAAAAAAUGGGUGAAUUGGACUCUUUGAAAAUUUUGGCAAUUUUUAAAUCAAAUAAAUUUUCUUUUUGAAACAAGAUUGAAACAAUAAAAACUAAAAGAGAUGGAAAUCAAGAACACAAGAUUUAUAUAGAGGUUCAGCUUCCUUGCCUACGUCCUUUCCCUUAUCUCAUUAAGAAAUUUAAAAUCCACUAUGAAAAUGCUAUUUCAAGAUUCAAGCAUAACUCUCAUUAUAGUACUUUUUUAAGAAUGAGACUAUAACCUCUCUACCUUUUACUUUAGUUAAGGUAUAACCACAGAAUACUACCUUUUAAUGGUUAGAGUAUACCUCAAGAAUUUACAAUAAAUGAAGAGUAAAAAGCUAAAAAUGCCUUUUAAAGGUUGAUGAGCUACAACGGUUCAAGCUUGAAAAAGAUAAGUAUAAAGAUAGCAAAAAAUUCUGCACAAUAAAUGCUUGAAGAAAGAAUUUUGAUGCUCAUUGAGAAGUGAAUAAAUGAACUUGAAGCUUUACUCAAGUGUGGAGAUCUUUUUAAGAGUCUUCUUCUUCUUCAAAAUAGGUAGGAAGCUUCCUUUUAUAAUUUCACAAUCAAUUUGAGCCAUUAGGAGAAAUUUGAGGCAGAAACUAGCCAUUAAAGCGUUAAAUGCUAGUUUGCCAUGACUCUAAGAUUGAUUCUAGUAGUUUAGGGGUUGAUCUUUGCUUCAAAAUUGUCCUUAAAUAUAACUGAAGAAUCGAGCAUUUAAAUGUGGGGUUUGAUUCUAAUCACACAUGGCUUGGACAAUUUCUUUCUUUCUUUUCAUGGAUAGACCUUAACAUCGUGGGGGUCGAUCCUUCAAGGCUUCAAUAGCUUCACUUCUCUUCAAUGUCUUCUUGGGAUUGACCUCUUCAGUUUCGGGGGGUCGAUCUUUCAAGACAGCAUGCCUUGGGUGGUCGGUUCUAAGUACUUCUAGUAGCUACUUCACUCUUGUCUUUUAUUGGGAUCAAUUUUCUUGCCUUGGGGUGUCAUAAAAAAAGAAAAGAAAGAAAAAAGGAAGAAAAGAGAAAAAAAAAGCAAAAGAAAAAUGAAGAACAAUUUCAAGCGUUAUGUACUUUAGAAAAGAAAAGAUAGUUUUGGACUAAAAAAUAGUAUACUUUGGAUAAACUUUUUUGGACUUUACUUACCUCUUUUGUAAUUUGGUUUAUGAUUUUGUAAUUUGUCUUUUAUUUUAUAUUUGUUCUUUAGUUUUUACUUAGAGAACUUAAGUAACUAGUUAUUUAAAAUUAAGUAAAAUAACUUUUCAUUUUAAUUUGGGAAAGAAGGAGGAAUAUAAUGUAGAGAAAGAAGGGAAAAAAGUAUGAAAAAUAAUAUGAAGUUUAUAUAUUUAUUAUUAUUAUUUUUUCUCAUUUUCUUUUUUCUUUGAUCUUGUUGGUAUAUUUUCAAAAUAAAAGAUUAUGUCACAUAAUGAAAAUCUAUCUUAACUCAAAGGUUACGUCACAAAGAGUGAUGUAGUGUGACUAUUGGAUUAUAGGUGGGUUUUUAACGUGAAUAGUUAUGUCUCUUGGUAAAGUGACAUAUUGGAAAAACACCUUUGAAUCCAAAGAAUAUAAAACAAUUGGAAAAACACCAUAGCUCAAAAGUUUGGAUAAGAAAAGUUAUUUUUUCAUAUUAUAGCUCAAAGAUUAUGUUUUAUGCAAUAAAUGCUUGUCCUUUUAUAAAGUGAUUAUUGAAACAAUACCUUUAUCCAAGGAUUAUGUCUUACAAAAUGCAAAGGUAUCUUUAAAAUAAAUAGUUGCCUUGAUGAAAGGGUUUUGUCUUUGAAGAAGAGACAUUUACAAGCCUAUAAAGGACUUGCUGCCAACCAUUUUGACACACCAAAACAAAUAAAAUAUUGAUAGAAAAAUUAAGAGCAGUACAAGUGUUAUGUUCUAAAAUUAAACAUAAACACUUGAGUUCCCAUGCUCUAUCAAAGGAAUCCAAAUUCCUUAUAAUCUACUUGUUGUAAAAAAUAGACUUUAAGGAGAACUACUUUGCAAACCCUCUAGUGUAUUUAGCGAUCUACUCUCAUAAAGUGCAAGAUGAAGUUAGACAUUGGCUUCAUUGUAUUCCUAAAGCUAUUCACAUUAUUCUCCUUUACAUAUCGAGUGGUGGGGGUGAAAUAAGUCUUGAAGAUAGUGUCUAUUGAAAAAGCUUGCUUUGAAGUCAAUUUUGCUAGUUCCUUGAAUUUUAUUGAAACACCAUUUGCACCAACAAUUUUAAGAUUUAUUUUUCAUGGUGUUGGAACUCAAAAUAACUUCACUAAAAAAGAUGGUUACCAACAUUGUCAAGUUAGAUCGCUUUGUCGAAGAAUCUGAAGAUGAGAUUCAUUUGUGGCAAAAUGGUUCUACAUCGAAUUAUAAGAUAAGUUUUUUUUUUCUUACUUUGAUAUAAAUAUGCAUGAUACUGUAUUUGAUAUGCAAAAAAAAACGUAUAUUGGUUGGAAAGAAAAUUUUUGUUAUAUUCAUAUAUGAUCUUGAUAUGGAUAAGGUUAUGAUUGUAUUUUUUAUAAUUGACAUACUUCUCCCAUCAUGGAGAGACACUAAGAAAACUCUUAAACAUAAAAAAAUCUAUUUUGAGGACCUUAAUAAUCAUCUUCGAGUGAAAAAAGCUUGUUGCAACUAAGAUGAAGUCACAAACAAGAUGAGAAGGAUAUAGAUCCUAAAGUAAACCAUCUUAAGUUGAUAAAGGUCCAUGUGAUGGAAGACACAAGGCAUGAACAUGUGGCAUUCUUAUUAUACAUUAAGGUAUAAUGAUGCCAAUAUGUAAAUACAAUAAAGGUCUAUGUGAUAGAUAGGCAUGUGGCAUUCCUAUUAUAUAUGAAGGUAUAAUUGUGUCAAUAUGUAAAUUUAACAUAUUCAUAUAUGGUGCAUUCCUAUUUUAUCAUCGAAGGCACAAUGGUGCAACAUAAAUAUUCAAUAUUUUUGACAAGGCAUUCUUAUUGUAUAAUAAAGUUUCAAUGGUGCUUGUGUGAACAUAUACCUUGAUGUAUUAAUUUGACAUUUCAAUUGUACAUUAAAGUACAAUAGUAUCAAUUGAGAAAAAAAAGAAUACGUGUAAGCUUGUAAAAUCCUUAUAUGGAUUAAAACAAGCACUUAAACAAUGGCAUCAAAGUUUGAUAAGAUUGUGUUAGCUGAUGGCUACAAUAUCAAUCAAUCUGACAAAUGUGUCUAUAGUAAGUUCCAAGUGUCAUCAUUUGUGUAUAUGUGGAUGACAUGUUAAUUUUUGGUACGUUGAAGUAUUAUAAUUACGGAAUACUUUCAAUGGGGGUUACCUAUGUGAAUGGAAGUGUGGCCACUUCUAGGAGUUAAAGGCUUAACUCCAAUAGUACUCAUGAAUGGAUGCAAAAUACAAAGUCAUAAAAAAUGUGUUGGCAAAACUAGAUACAAAGUGAGCAAAGAAGCUUAUGUGUGUUUAGUGGCCUGACUAGUCAAAUGAAGAAUCGAUGGUUCAAUGCGUCAACCACUCAAUUCAAGCUAGAACCAACCAUACUCAUUAAGUGAAGGUUCAAAUCUACGGGAUAUUGUCAUUUAUGCAUAAGAUUCCCUAUACAUGUUAUGGGUUUAUUAAGAACUUUUGUUAAACUUUAUCUUACACAUUACGGGAACCAAGCUUUAUUUACCUCGGGAUGGAAAAUAUAAAUUAGUACUUGCAAUCACCAUGUGGUAGAAUAGUCAGUACCCAAGACUUGUAGAUUGGUCGUAAGCAUCACGGUGAGCUCCCACCAUUGGAGAUUUAGUUGAUAGGCUUGAGACCAUCCCUUUUGAGGUCUUUAUUACCAAGUCUUUUUUCAAACUUUUAGUAAAUGAAUCUGUUAAAUUUUCACAAGACCUUACAUAACUUAUAGUGACUAUAUCAUCACUAAUUCGUUGUCUUAUAAUGCUAUGUCGAAGUCUAAUACAUUGAUUCUUUCCAUUGUAUGCUUGAUUAUAUGCCUUUUAUACCUUUGCUUCAUUGUCACAAUGUAUCAAGAUUGGUGUUAUUGGUUCAAGCCAUAAUGGAAUUUCGUAAAAUAAAUCUUUCAACCAUUCCAUUUCUUGGGUGGCAAAUGCUAAGGGUAUAAAUUCAGCUGUCAUGGUAUAGUUCACUUGAUAAGAUUGUUUCUUAAAACUAAAAAAAACAACACCCCCACCAAUUGUAAAAAUCCAACCAGUCGUAGAGGUAUGAUCCAUUCUAUUUGAGUUCUAACUAGCAUCUUUAUACCCUUAUAAAAUCGAAGGAAAACCUAAAUAACAAAUGCCACAAUUCAUUUUAUUCUUUAAGUACUUUAAAACUUUAUGAACAAUAUACCAACGUUCUCUACUUGAAUUACUUGUAAAUCGACUUAGCAUCUCAACCACAAAUGCAAUAUCUGACCUUGUAUACAUCAUUGCAUACAUUAGACAUCAAAUCACCUAGCAUAUUCAUUUUGUAUUAUUGCCUUUUGUUUUUGGGGUACUAGCCUUAUAUUAGAAUCAUAAAGCAUAAACAUUGGCGUAGAAUCUGACUUACCAUACUUCAUUACUUUUUCCGAAUGUAAUGAGAUUGAGACAAUGUUAUGCAAUUAUUGUCUCUCAUUAUUCUUAUACCAAGAUUAAUAUUUGCCACACCGAUAUCUUUCAUGUCAAAAUUCUUUGACAGAAACCUUUUUGUGUCUUCCAUUUGUUGCAAAAGUUGUUGGUAUAUAAAAAUUUUGAAAAUGGUGUGGAGGAUUGUUAGUGUAUUUUCAAAUAAAAGGUUAUGUCACAUAAUGAAAACCUAUCUUAACUCAAAGAUUAUAUCACAAAGAGUGACAAAGCGUGACUAUUGAAUUGUAGGUGGGUUUUAUAAUCUGAAUAGUUAUGUCUUUUGAUAGAGUGACACACUGGAAAAACACCUUUGAAUCCAAAGCAUAUAAAACAAUUGAAAAAACACCAUAGCUCAAAAGUUUGGAUACGAAAAGUUAUCUUUUCAUAUUAUAACUCAAAGAUUAUGUCUUAUGGAAUGAAUGGUUGUCUUUUUAUAAGGUGAUUAUUGAAACAAUAUCUUUAUCUAAAGAUUAUGUUUUACAAAAUGUAAAGAUAUUUUUAAGAUAAAGAGGUGCCUUGAUGAAAGGGUAGUGUCCUUGAAAAAGAGACACUUGCAAGCCUAUAUAAAGUAUUUGUCGCCAACCAUUUUGACACACCAAAAACAAAUAAAAUAUUAACAGAAAAAUCAAUAACAAUACAAGUGUUAUGUUUUGAAAUUAAAUAUAAACACUUGAGUUCCCAUCAUUUAUCAAAAGAAUCUAAAUUUUUUAUAAUUUACUUGCUGCAGAAAGUAGGCUUUAAGGCUAAACAACUUUGCAAACCUUCAAAUGUAUCUAGCGAACUGCUCUCAUAAGGUGUAAGACAAAAUUAGACGCUGACUUCAUUGUAUCCUUAAGACUAUUCACAUUAUUUUUCUUUGCAUACCGAAUGGUAGAAGCGAAAUAAGUCUUAAAGAUAGCAUCUAUUCAAAAGAUUCACAUUGAAGUCAAUUUUAUCGAUUCGUUGAAUUUCAUCGAAACCUUAUUUGCACCAACAGAUAUUUGAAUAUUUUAAAAAUAUUUGUAAUUUAAAGUAAUUUUACUCAUCAAAUAUAAAAGUUUAUCUUCUUUUAUGUGUAUGUGAAAAUCUACCUCUUGUAACAAAACGUGGUCUUUUAUUCAGUAACUUUAUUAAACCUCAAUAGCACAAAAUAUUUUGUAUAGUGCCAAAACUUUUAUGUGUUUUAAUCAUAUAUUUUUUGGUGAAAAUUUAGCCUGCAAUUGAUCAUAGGUUUCCACUAUUAGAAAGCACUAGAAAAAACACCACGCUUUGUUGCGGGUCUAUAAAUAUUUUUUAAAUAAUUGGUGUAAAAAAUUUUGUAAAACAGAAAAAUACAACACAAAUUGUUUUAAUAUUUAAUUUUUAGUCAAAAUAAAAAAAUCUUAUAAUAAACUUAAUAUUAUUCUAAAAAAUAAAAAAAAUUAUAUUUAUAAAAAAUCAAGUUUUCAUCAUCAUUGCCUUUUCUUUUGCAAGGAAAUUAAUGAUAAUGUAAAAUCAUGUUAAAUUCUAAUUCUGUCCCAAUUGUUGCAUCAUUGUAUGUUGUGAUUGAUUUCACAACAUUAUUAGUUUUUGUAGAAAAGCUAAGUUGGCUUUGUCAUAACUAGAAAGUAUGAAAAUUCAAUUUUGAAACUUAACAUUGAGUUUAUUGCAUCAAUAAAUAGAAAAAAAUAAUUAAUUUUUUUUCACAUCAUUAACUCCAAUACUGUGAUCCAACCAUGAUGCAAAAUAAAUAUAAACCCCUUUUGAUUGAGAACGGUCUUGGUCUAGCCAAUAUCUUAUAAAAUAUAACAAAUAUUAUGGUUUAUAACAUAUAUGUUAUGAAACUGAAAAAAAAAAAAAUCACAACAACAAAUUUAAUCUCUCAAUGAGACAAAUAAUGAUAAUUAUCAUGACAAAAAAAAUUCAAAUCUGAAUUACAUCAGCAAAUACCAGCUACAAAAAGAGAGGAAAGGAAAAGGUGAAAAAAUUCAUCACUAAUUACUCACAAAUUUUACUGUAAGUGUUAAAAACAUUAGACAACAAAGAAGUAAAAUAGUGCAAAAUGAAUCACAUCACCCCUGCUUCAGCUUUAAUCACAACGAUUUCCCAUCAUCCUCAGAGAAUGUUCAACAAAUUCUUAAUGAAAUAAACCUAGGCGAUAGCUUGAGAUUGCAACAUUUGUCGUUCUUUCAAUAACGUCCCCUUGUUCUUCCUCCAUGUUUAUAAGAACACAUGAAAUAGAAAAAGAGUUGAAAUAUUUCAAAGAAAAGUGAUACAUUGAUUAUAACCAAGAUAAUUUUUUUUAUCUAAUUGGAAUAAAAAACUAAUAAAUCAAAAGAAGAAUUUUUAUAACAACUUAAGUAUAGUUUGUAGCUACCAUACCCAAAACUUCAUUUUGGUGACCACCAACUCGAAUGAAUAUCAAAAUGCAUAUUUCAGUAUGAAUAUUCCACAGCUGAACUAAUUCAUCUUACUUAAAUUUUAAAUUUAAACAUUUAAUAAAACAGUAAUCAAGUAAAUGCAAUAAUGCUUACUUGUUGACACUAUAAGUGGUGGCUUUAAUGAUUGAGUCUUGAUUUCAUUUAUGAAAUUCCCAUGAAGAGCAAAACUCUGUAAAUACACAUGCAUGAAGAGGUUAAAAUGAAAAAACUCAGGGUAAAAAAAAUGCAUAAAACUAUAGAUGCUAAAAUCGUUCACCUGUAUGCCACAAAAAAUGUAAGCAUAAUCAGUAACUAUAAAUCAGAAUAAACAUAAAAACAGAGAAAAAAAAUAAGAGAAACAUGAAACCAUUUACAUCGUUAUGAAAGAAUCAAAAUAUUGAGAAAUGAAAAGACAAAAUAGGGAUAUACUGAAACUUGUCACUGCUAAAGAAGGCACCAAAGUCUGAUAACAACAACCAAAAUGCACCGAAUCUAACCCACACAUGUUAAUAAAAAAUCACUAAAAAAUUUAUGAGUAAUAAAACUAAAAUAUCCAAAGAAAAAAACAAAUCCACAAAUGUAAAACAUUUGCAAGGCUUAAAACUCUAACCAAACAGUGCCGGAGAAAUGUAAAAACGAAAGAGGCGACAAAACCAAAGAGACAUCAAAGAAAGACACCAAAAUCAAACAAUCUCAAAACUUAAACCACCUGAAGAACCCAAAAUGUAUAAAACAGAUACAAAAACCAAGAAAAAUGCAAGGAAUUGAAACCAACACAAAUAUAGGGAAAACACAUCCAAACCAAAAGAUUUGAAAAUCUGAACCGGUUGAAAAAGUAAAAAGACUGCACAACUCAAAAAAUGUAACAAAUCCAAAUCAAUAGAAAAUAAUGGAUAAAAGAACAGAAGAGACGCCACAAUCGAAGAGAAGAAACCAAAAUACCAUAGUGAAGCAAACCAAAGAGGUAGAGAGAAAGAAAAUAAGAAAAAAAUAGUAGAAAACCAAACAUGAGAGAGGAAAAGGCGAAUAGAAAGAAAAAAAGAACAGAUGAGAGAAACGUGAGAAUGAAAAAUAAGAAUGGGAGAGUGAAAGAUAUGUAUGAAACAAACAAUAAAACCAAAGUGAUAGAAAGAGGAAGGGAAGCUUCUAGAUGGUAGGGAAAAACUUGAAAUGCCCCUUCUCUUUCAAUCAAAAACCCAAGAAACCCUUCCUUUACAAAUAAAAAAAAUUCCUAAUUUAUACACAAAUUCUCGAAUGAUACCAGUCUCUUGACUGAAACUCCAAAAUAUCAUCCAUACAGAAACAAAUUACAAUGCCACAUGUCAACCCUUGAAAAUCCUUUGUACAUAAAAAUCAUAAUAUUUAAAAAUAAUAUUUAGCCACUGUCAUUCAAAGAAGGUCAUAAUGUGGUUCAACUUGAAAGCUCAUUUGGGUCUUCCUUUUAUAUUAUGUUAUAGAUAUUUGCAUUAGGGUAGCAGGGUAGCAGUCACAUCCAGCCGACACUAUAGGAUGGGAAAUUCGAACUGUAAUUCGAUUGGGACAAGCAUUGCCCUCUAUGGGGUUUAAAGAAACAUAAUUCCUUUCCUUUGGACACUUGUGCACGGUAUAUUUUGUGCAUUAUAUUACUCGUAUAUAUGGAAUAUCCUACUCCCACAAGCCAUGUUCUGCGAGGCUGCCAAAUUCAGGGUGCAUUGCUUCUUGAAAACAUGAUUGAAAUCAGACAUGGACUAAUUAAUAGGUAGGGCAAGACAAGGAUUGGACGGCUUAGCUCAAAUUUCUACCAUCCUUGGUGAUCUAGAAGAAGGUUUGGUAAACAUUAGCUUUUAUCUGGGUUUAGUUUGAUCUAGUACUAGCUGUUAAAUUACCCGAAUGCUAUCUGAAAACUACUCCCUAGAUGCAAAAAUACUCCUACUCCUAGCCACGAUUCAAUAUGAAAACACUCUCAGCCACAAGUCCUUGAUCUAGACUCAUAAACUGACCAGGUAUGGUUUGGGAGACACCAGCCUGUAAUAGCCCAGCUAACACAAUAUUUUACAUUAUUAGUGACGAGCAACACGACUGAUUGAUUAGCUCAAGUGUCGAUUGGUCCACUUUGAUUUGCUAAGCAUUUUCUAUUUGUUGGCAUCUGAGAUAACCACCAUGCCUCGUUAAAUAAUAGUAGCAAUAAGCAACCACCGUUAAUCAAUCAAAUUUCACAAGUUUAGAAACACACAGCAACCUUUUUAAACUGUUUUCUUAAACCCAUUAUUUUGUUGCAUUAACAGAGUGGUUUUGUCUUGUUCAAGAGUCUAGCCAGCUCAUUCCAGCAGAGUUCCACUCCCCACAUCUUAUCCCAUAAAAUCCCCAUUGGCUCCCCUUCACAUUCACAACAUCUCCAACACAAGCAAAUCAUGGCUUCAGCUACUGUUUCUUCCAUUCCCCUCACUCUGUCUGCUCUCUUCCUACUUUUCACUUCUACAGCCUUAGCACAGACAGCUCCCGCCCCUGCCCCCCCUGGCCCCUUAAACUUCACUGGAAUCCUUGAUAAAAAUGGCCAAUACACCUACUUCCUUCGCCUUUUAGCAGAGUCUCAAGUCGGCAGCCAAAUACAAAAUCAGCUCAACAGCACCACCGAAGGCUUUACCGUUCUUGCUCCCACAGAUAAUGCCUUUAACAACCUCAAAGCUGGUACAAUCAACAGUCUCGACGAGCAAAAAAAAGUACAACUAGUUUUGUUCCACGUUCUGCCAAAAUACUACUCUUUGAACGACCUUCAAUUUGUUAGCAACCCAGUUAGAACCCAAGCUACUGGUCAAGAUGGUGGGGUUUACGGGCUCAACUUCACUGGCCAGAACAACCAGGUUAAUGUGUCAACCGGGGUAGUUGAGACGCAGAUUAACAAUGCACUAACUCAGCAGAAACCUCUGGCAAUUUAUCAAGUGGACAAGGUGCUGUUGCCCGCAGAGUUUUUUGAAGCUAAAUCGCCAGCUGAAGCUCCUUCACCGGCAACAAAGAAAUCAUCAUCAGGGUCCAACUCUAACUCAACCGCAUCAACCGCUGAUGAGCCAGACUCUGCUGAUAAUUCAGGUUCAAGUGGGAGGAAUAUGGGGCUGGGCUUGGUUGUGGGGCUUGCGUUGGCUUGCAUGGGGGCUCUCUCUUGACCAGAUAUGAAGUUUGUAUUUUGUGGAGUCGGCAUUUUUUCACAUUUUCUUCCUUUUUCAAACGGAUAAGUGUCUAUUGGGGCUUUGAACAGAGACUUCUCAUCCACAUUAUAUGUAUUACUUUCAUUUUUGUUGAUUUGCUUGUGCAUUUGCUUGGUUGUUUCAGAAAAUGCUUUAGCCUCUCCAUUUGAUCUCUUCCCUUGUAUAUAUUUCUCUUUCUCUAAUGUUAUUUUCAUGAACAAUUAUGUGAGAGAAUAAGGAGCAGCGAGAAGUUCAAAUUAUCAGCUAGCAGGAACGAGAUUUGGAGAAUGAUAAACACAAAUGUCACCGUAUAAUACUAAUUCUGAUUUCUGAACGUGGUUGCCACCUCAUUCUGCAAUACUAUAUCAACUAGUUGAUGACCUUAAAAGUGAAUGAUCGCCCAAAUCUCAACUGAAUCAUUCUCAAGGUCAACUUUAGUUUAGUAAUUCAACACUGUGUGUUUAACACUACAUCAAACCAAAUGCUCUAUUUCUUUCUCUAUUAUUAAUUUAGUGUUACUACAUCAGUGUCCCCUCACAUGUCCUUAUUUAAGUUUUGAUCACGGCAGGACAAAGUCCAAGGAGUGUAUAUAUAUAUACACCCUUAGCAUUUCUCUUCUCCAUAUGUGGAUUUAAAAAAAAAUAGAAUGUUUUGAAUCAAUGUCCUUUCUUAUGGUCUUCUCAUUUUGCAGGUUACACAUUAUUAAACUUUUUAAUAAAUUAAGCGAAAUUUUGUAAAAUUUUAGUGAACAAAAAUGUAAAGACAACAGAGUUUUAUUAAGAAUGUGCUUCAAAAUAAGAUAAAGAGUAUGACAUUUUGUUAUGUCAAAAGGUCACAUUGCAUGUUGAAUAACUUAUGGAAUGUAUAUAGUAUGUGCGGAAAAAAUUAUGACAUAUUCAUAUGUUGCUCAUCAGAUUUUGUUAGCAUUGAACUGGAGGUGUCUUCUUCUAUUGCUGGACUAAUUUCUCCAAUGCCAUUGCCUGGUUCUGGUUGUCUCCAGCUGCUUCCAAAAGAGAUUUCACCAUCAUAGCUGCCUCCGGUGAUGGUCUUGGGCGUUGCUUUCUCUUUAGAGAUUUCCGAAGUUGGAGUGCUUGUCGUGGAAGGCUGCACAUCAUCUUCUGUAAUCUCAUUGCAAGAAUAGCUUAUGGCUGAGAUUGGAUGUUCAUUCUUUGCAGCCAUGACUAAUGCAUUAAUGGUGUCAGGAAGUGAGGAGUUUGGUGAGUUUUUGGUUGAAGUAGAUUCGUCCCUGGAAAGACUGACUUUUGCUUUAUGGUGCCAAUGCUUCAGGCCUCUGACUACACUUUCUGUGAAUAUUGCGCUGUUCAUGCUAGAACCCAUCUGCAAGAGUAAUUUGUCCCAGAAGGGGGGAAAUAAUUAUAACCAUACUUGAAUCAUGCAUAAUAGCAUCCUAAACCCAAUACAUUAUUAGUCCCACUGGAUGGCUGUUUUGGAUUAGAGAUUACAAAGCACACAUAUUAGGCUAUCCUUCCAUAACCAUGAAGGAAAUUUGUUUCCCUUCUUUUCCUCUGGUUCUAAACAAAUAAAGGAUUUGUUCUGAAGCAUUGCAAUUGUAUGACUAGGUUGUAUUCUGUGUAGCCUUUGCUUAAAGUUCCAGCUGUGGAUUUAAUCUAGGUGCCUAAUUUUUCCAUGCUCAUCAAAUUUUUUUUUGGACCAUCUUAGUCAACUUCCUCUUCCAAGGAAGUUUUUUUUUUUUUUUUUUCUUAUUUGUUAAUAAAAAAUUGAGAUUGAAACAAUUCUUCAAUUUGGGUUGUGGUAGGGUAAUGUACUGAAAGCAUUCUCAGUUCUAGCUCCUAAUUGUGGUCUGUUAUAGUAGUUCGAGACACAUAAAAAUCUCUAAUACCUCCCAUAUUUUGACACAGCAAUGUUCUUGUAUUUGUACCUGGGUGACGAGUGCAUAAAGAGGCAGGGUAAGAUAACCGCAAAGUAACUGCAUAAAUACACCCAUCACAAUCCUUAUGGCAAAGUCCUCCGUUCCUUGAUUGAAGCAAGAUCUAAGCCCAUACUCAUACUGUCAUUGUUAAAGAGGUCAGCUUUGGAUGUCAACAUAUCCUGAUUCCUGAGUUUACCAACUUAAAAUACCUACCAAUGUCCAGGCAAAGAAUGCCAGCUGAAAUGAGUUCUGCAAUCAAGGUCAACAGCCUUUUUCAGGAUCUUAUCACAUUUGUAAAAUUCCAUUUAACUAAUGUUAGGAUAGACACCUCUAUUACCAAAGGAAAGUGCUAACAUUUGCUAAGAAACAGUGUCUUCUCGCAAAAUAUAUCAGCUCCAAACAUUUGGCAUCUGUUACUAUCAAAUUUUUGGUUGCUCAUAAACAAGUUAGUUAUUGAUAUUCUCUACCUGGAUUAGGACGAGCUGAAGGAGAUGGAGGAGCCAUUUAGGUCGACCAAACCAAAAUAACUCAUCACCGGGCUUCACAUGGAAACUCCCUCGAACCACAGAACUAUUCUUGUGACUCUCCACACACAUUUUGGUUAUUAUGACUUGCAGCUUUGUACCAACAAUAAGAAUAAUCUUCAACAGAAAAUGUGAGAGUAGAAUGUAGUUAGUAUCAGACUUUAAUCAUGUCUUUGUAAAGAUAAAAGACAGAUGGGUGGUUGAUCAUACCACUAGAGGAAGAAAUGGUAGCCAAUAAUGGUUAUAAAAUCCUGCAUCAGAACCAAAGUACGACUCUCUUCAAAUAGUACUAGUUAUUUAACUAAAGUUAUAGAAUUUCAAUUUUUUAUCAUAUGAGUAACCCUAACAAAUUCUGAAAUCCAGAAGCCUUACUGUGUGCAUUGAAAAAUAUGAAAAGAAUGCAGAAGAUCCAGAUCCAAAACCUGCAAAAGAGAGUGCCAAGAUUCUCAUUUUCCAAAUUCAAAGUUCAAAAGUUUCUUCUCUAUGGCAAUGUGCAUUCUGCCAAUAAGCAUUCUGAAUGCCUUUCUAGCUCUCACCAAUACCAUUGUCCUUAUCAAAUCUUAAAUUUCUGUAUCAGUGGUAUGUUGAUCAACUAAUUCUUUUGUGAAUCAUUUGUAUGGCAGAGAAAUUUUUACCUGAUUCCAACCACCUGUUCAAAAUCAUUAUCGAAAGCUCUUCCAAGGAACUUCUGGAAGUUGAAAUUACUCCCUUCAGCAACAUUGGCCUGUGGGAUCAAGCAAGAAUAUUUUAGAUGCAGAGUCGUGAAGGAUUCAAUAUAUUAUAUAUAGGAGACUAUCCAAAGAUGAGGCCUGCUCAAAUCUGGUGUGAACUUCAGUUCAGCUCAUGCAAUCUUGGGGGUAUCUAACUCGCUCUUGAUGGUGUAUAUAAAAGCUAAAAGCCCAAAUUUCUGUACAUUUCAUCAUGAAUUUAUUGGCAAUGGGGUCUGGAAGAUCUUAUAUACCAGGAUAAACGCAUUUCGAAGAGUGAAAUAAUCAGCUUUUGAGGCUGAGCCACUGAACUGUCGAAUGAAACAAACCUAAAUCAGAGAGAAAAAUGCAAUGUUAACGGUGCUCAUCAUGAAAGAUUUAUUCUAUUUUAACUACUAUUUCCAACACGAAAAGUCUUUUUUCAGUUUAUCACAUACAUGUGAUUGACAAAAUUCUAGUUUAACUUACUGGCCAAAGCAAGAGAAAGUGAUUGCUCCAUAGUUUCAAAUGUCGUUGCCCAAAAGAUGUUUGACGGGUGAGCCGGAACCUCAUUGGAUCUGUACAGAGUAAGUUUCAGUAAACAUACAAGACAUAAUAUAUAUCAAUGUCCAAUUUCUAUUCCACACACUUCCAUAUUUACACCACAAACUUCAUUUCCCAUCGCAACUCUGGAUGCUGUCUAGAGUUUCAGAGAACUGAAUAUAUAUAUAGAUAUAUAUAUCAGGUAACGACUUCUCACUUGUGUUCUGCAGUUAAGUGAGUAUGUUCUUAUCGUUUCCUCAAGUAUAGGGUGUCUAAUUGUUCAGUAGAUAUCACUUUCAACAUUAGCUAAAUUAGUAGUACUAAAAUGAUAAGAAUUGAAGCCAUGGUUACAUAAUGCAAAAUGCCAAAUUAACUGCAUAGGCCUUAAACUUGGUUCUUUCAUGGUAUGAAAAGCUUGUGAACUUUUUGAUUGAAUUGAGGAAUGCAAGUAUAAGCUACCAUUAGCAAUCUGAUAUUCCAGGGUUCUAGUCUCUUCCUCCCAUGUUUUCCAUCUCUUCAUCUGUUUCACAAAAAAUUUAUUAAAAUGUCAAUACUAUAAAUGGGAAGCUUAAACUAUCUAAACCAUCAACUUCUAUCCCCAAAGAAAAGUCAGCAAAUUAACUUGAAGAGGCAACAAGUAUGCUCAGAUUUUCUGCACAUUUUUCCAAGGAACUGGUAGCCUUGCUUAUUAUAUUAUAACCUUUAUUUAUUGUUUGACACGGCAUCUCGUCACCAAGAUCUUUUUGAAUUGAUUUAUAGUCUUUGACUCUGAGGAUGACAAAAUGCUCAUACAUUCCAAUCUAACAAUAAAAGAAACUAAACAUUUAUCAACUCAUGCUGGACCAGAAAAAAUAAUUAUCUGCACACCCCAAAUAUUUUCUUUUCCAAGAACGACCAAAAGACAAAAGACUAGAGAGUCCCCGAAAUUGAGCUUCCACAACCUGGGAACCAAGACCAAAUAGGUUUAUUGUUUUUGAAGCAUUGCCUAAUAUUUCUACAGUUGCGUGACACAGAUCAACUGGCUCGGCAGCUGGUUUGAAAAUUAAGCAAAGAUGAAUAGUAUUCAGGUUUGUAGCACAGCAACUAAAACUAAUAGAGGCAAAACAAUUAAUCACCCAAGGAAAAGAUUACGUUUGGAACCUUGACUAGCCCGAGAGACAUUGUUAACACGCAAUAAAGAAUGUGAAACACUGCCAAAACUGAGAUGAAGAUGUUUAGCUGCAUGACUCCUUCCCUUGAGAUCAGUGACACCAUUCCCUGUACCAUUGUCAACCAACAAACAGGUAUUAGUCCAUGAUAACCUUGGAUGAACAAGCGAUUACUGAUUCAAAAGUCGAAAGAACCACAACUUUCAACUACAGUCCUUCAACAUUUCUCACCUUUGCCUCGCAGUAGGAUUCUUGUUCAUCAUACUCAACAGAAAGAGUUGUACUUGAUUCUGAUGAGCCUGGAAUUUGAUUUUCAGUUGAAAGAGCCGGUUCAAUGAACUCCUCAGGAUCUUUGCAUGGAAGAAGGGAGUUCGCUAUGGCUUCAGUCACACAAAUUUUUGAAAUGGGUGCUUCUGAUAUUGCAAGAAGAAAAGAUAUGAACCCCAUUUUCAUCAUUUCUGUCGCAAAUGUUGAGUCGAAUUGCAAAAAAAAAAAAAUUAUAUCAAAACACAUGAAUAUUUUGCCUAUGCAAGAAGUUUCCAAGGAUAGAAGAGAAACAGACCACAAAUAAUAUAUAUAUAUAUAUAUAUAUAUAUAUAUAUAUAUAUAAAUAUAAAUGCAGACUCUAUUGCGAGUUUAGGAGUGUACCACUACCAACCUGUUUUGAUCUUUGCUAAAGCUCUGUAGAGGGAUUUUCUUUUCCUUCUUUUUAAAAGCUGAAUGAUACAAACACUAUCAUCAGAUAAAACAUUUAUCAAUAUUCGUCAAUUAAUUCGAUCAACUUAUGAAAAAAGCAGGGUUACCUUGGUUAAGUAAUGAAGAACAGUCUCAAUGGUGAAAGAAAUGAGAGAGAUAAACAAACAAACAAGCGAAACAGCCCAGGUUGGUGUAUGUUCAAGUGAAUUUCCUCUGUCCAUAUCUCUAAUAAUUUUGACUACCAAUCAAGAACAAGGAGAGAGAAGACUGAUACGUCCUUGCAUUUAUAGCUUAAUUAGUGAGGGAUGACUAUAGUAACAAAAAAAAAAAGAUUGAGAGCAAUUUGUCAAGCAGACUAAGUCCAAACAUGCAUAUAGUUGUCUAAUUGUUAUAUCUGCGUACAGUGAAGGGAACUGGCUUCUUGUUGAAAAUUUCUGCGAUCAUCACAUCGUGGAUUCAGCAUUAUGUCAGCAUAUGCCACGUGCAAAGCCAAAGACGGCAUUAAGAAAAAACAAAGGGGGAAGAAGCUGGAGGACUGGAGGAGGCAAUAUUUCUACUUUUUUUUUUUUUGGAANUGGGAUCAAACACUGUAUAAAAUUUAUCCUUGAAAAGAAGAGCAUAAUGAGACUCAAUAAGCUGUCUAACACUGAGCAAAUUUUGGUUAGCCUUAGGGACAAAAAAGACAUUAGAAAUAUACUUAUUACCUGACUAAGUUUCAACCAUAACAGUCCUUAUACCAAGUAUCUUCAAAAAGGUCUAUUACCAAUCUCUACUUUGGACCUAUAACUCUUGUCCAAGGUAGAAAACUAACUCUCAUCACCAGUUAGGUGUUUGAGCAGACACUAUCAAUCAACCACAAAUUCUUCUUGACUGAAUAUUCGACUUCUUUAGCCAUGAAUAACAUCUCCUAAAAUUCUUCAACUUGUUUAACUAGUGCAGCCUUUUCAUUAGCUUUAGAACCUUUGUUUUUGCAGACUUUUUCAAAAUGACCAAGUUGGUUAUAAACCCUACAUUUUACAUUGGGUUUGUACUAACAAAAUUUUACCGAAUGUGUGGUUUUCUUGUAGUGAGGACUGGGUUGAUACUUUUGCUUCUGUUUUCCAAAUUUUCCAUCAGUUACUUUCUUAUCCUUAUCGUUCCUAACAACUUCAUUCUUCCUUGUGCUACUACUGCUCACUUUGAGAUUCCUAGUUUGAGCUACCAAGGCACUGUCAACUAUACUUUUUUGCCUAAAUGCUCUUCUCUAUUCAAGGCCCUCCGGAGCAUUUACCAGCUCUUUCAAAGUCAACUGAGCAAUGUCCUUGGAAUCUUUUCAGGAAAAAACCUUGGAUUCAUGCCUUUCUGAAAGGUUCAGCAGCAUCUUAUGUGUCAACCUUUCCUCAGUCAUAGCCUUACCCAACAACCCCAAUUGAUUCACUAUACUCAUCAUUUUCCCAAAAAACUUCUUAAUAGUUUCAUCAUCUUCCAUCCUUAACAUCUCAAAUUGUCUAAAUAAAUUCAAUGAUUGAAUUGUUAUAUUUCUAGUCUUUAACAGAGAGCAAGUUGUCAAAGAUACUCUGUUAUAAAACUAAAACAGAAAGGCUUUCAAAACUUGAAAGAAAGACUAUCGAUGGUUACAAGAAACUGCAAGUCUGCUUCAUUGAUCAGAUUAAAGUACAAGUUAAAUAUGCAGUAGGCAUAAUUAGCACUUGUAACAUACUAUAGACACAGGUGUUAUGGCAUAAAGACAACAAACUCAUGCAGCUAUACACGUAGGAGAUGGAAUUAGUAGAAAACAUGCAUGACUAAUGACCACUACAAUGAAGCAAAGUAUAACAAAAGCUUGACAAGUGUACAUUAUCAUGCAAGUAUUAACUUAACACUCCUCCUUAAUACUUACAUAUACACUGAGUUUGCUUCUAAGACUCUCAAAUUUUGGCUUUGGCAGUGUCUUGGUCAUUAUAUCAGCUAGUUGCCUAUCAGAAUUGCAAUGGUGGAAGACGACAUCUCCAUUCUUUUCAGCAUCACGAAUGGCAUGGGAUUUAAUCCUAAUGUGCUUUGUCUUCCCAUGAUACACAGGAUUUUUUAUGAUGGCAAUUGCUGACUUGUUGUCAAUGAACAUGUUAGUUGCUUGAGUCUGAGGAAAAUACAAGUCAUCAAGUAGUUUUCUCAACCAAACAGCCUGGUUUGAAGCUUCAGCAGCUGAAAUAUAUUCAGCUUCACAUGAGGACUGAGCAACCACUGAUUGCUUGUGGGAAUUCCAUGAGAAUACUCCAUUUCCAAGUGUAAACACAUAGCCAGAAGUACUUUUAGAGUCAUCUAAGUUUCCUCCCCAAUCACUAUCUGAGAAACCAGUGAGUUUGAAGUCUUGCUUUCUUGUGAAAUGAAUUUCAUAAUCCAAGGUUCCUUUAAGAUACCUUACAAUUCAUUUACCAGCAGCAUGGUGCAAUCUCCUACAUAAACCUUGAAAGAAAACUCAAAGAGGACAUGAUAUAAGGUCUUGAGGAACAUACAUAAAGAAGGCUUCCAAUUAAGCUUCUAUAAAUUGAUGGAUUUUGAAGCUGAAUUCCACUGUCAAUUAUGAGUUUGUCAUUCACAACCAAAGGAGUUAAAAUAGGCUUGCAUUGGCUUAUUCCAAAUCUCUUCAACAUUUCAUAGACAUAGUUUCUUCGUGACAACUGAAUGCCUUCAACUAAUUGUGUGAUUUGCAGUCCAACAAAAUAGCUUAUUGGACCAAAGUCUGUCAUAUCGAAUUCAUCUUGCAUUUCCUUCCUGAAUUUAUCCAAGGCAGCAUCAUCUCUUCUAGUAACCAAAAGGUCAUCAACAUAUAAGGAGACAAUUAGUUGCUGAUCUUUGGUACUCAAAAUGAAGAGAGUAGCUUCAUUACAACUUUUCACAAAGCCUUGCUUGGAUAAAUAACUAUCAAUUCUGCUGUACCAGCUUCUGGGAGCCUGCUUUAAGCCGUAUAAAGCUUUGUGAAGCUUGUAGACUUUGUCUUGAUCAGCUAACAACUUGAACCCUUCAGGCUGCUCAGCAUAAAUUUCUUCUUCAAGUACUCCAUUCAAGAAGGCAGAUUUGACAUCUAAAUGAUGCACCUUUCAACCCACAGCAGCAGAUAAAGCAAGCAGUAAACGAAUUGUAUCAUAGCGAGCAACAGGAGCAUAAGUUUCAGUAUAAUCCAAACCUGGUAUUUGACUGAACCCUUUCACGACUAAGCGAGCUUUGUUCUUGUUUAAGCUCCCAUCAGGAUUUAGUUUCCUCUUAUACACCCACUUGACUGGAAGAACAUGUUGGUUUGAUGGUCUGUCAACCAAGCUCCAAGUUUGAUUUUUGUUAAUCACUUCCAGUUCAUCAAACAUAGCAUUUAUCCACUCAGGAUGUUGCAUGGCCUCUGCAAAUGUGUUUGGCUCUGCUAUGGCCACAAAGCUACUAUGAUAAAUAUCAUAAAUGGACCGUGACCUUUUCACAGGCUCAUCAUCAAUGUUAUCAUCAGAAAUUGGUUCAUCAGCAACCACAUCAUUUUCAUGCACAUCUGUAUUCACAAAGAUAGGAGCAGGCACCUGAUUAUUGGCAGUAGUUUGUGUGUUCCAAUUCCAGUUGGAAGCUUCAUCAAAUGUAACAUUUCUGCUAAUAAUUAUUCUGUCAUUUUUUGGUAGAUAAAUUUGAUAGGCCUUUGACUGUGUGCUGUAGCCUAUGAAAAUACCCUUGUGAGCUUUUGGUUGAAGCUUAUCACGCUGUGUGUCUGGCACAUGACAGUAGCAAAUGCUCCCAAAUAUUCGAAGAUGAUCAACAGAUGGUCUAAAGCCAUACCAAGCUUCAAAUGGAGUUUUGUUCAUUAAGGCUUUAGUAGGAAGCAAGUUGAGCAGAUAUACUGCUGUGCUAGCAGCUUCAGCCCAAAAUUUCUUGGGCAGAUUCUUCUCGAACAACAAACAUCUGCACAUUUCAAGUAUUGUUCUAUUCUUUCUCUCAGAAACACCAUUCUGUUGAGGAGAGUAUGGUGCAGUGAGUUGAUGAGAAAUUCCAGUACUCAGGAGAAAUUCAUAAAACUCAUUCGAGGUAUAUUCACCUCCAUUAUCAGACCUCAAGGUCUUUAUCUUGCAACCUGUCUCAAGCUCUACUUUGGCCUUAAACUUCAAGAACAUUUCAAAUACUUCAGAUUUUGCUUUCAGGAAAUAAAUCCAACAAAAUCUAGACAUAUCAUCAAUGAAUAUUAAGUAGAACCUACUGCCAACCAAUGACUCAACUUUCAUAGGACCUGCUACAUCAGUAUGAACCAAUUCAAGCUUGAUUCUCGCUCGAUUCCUACUGGCUGGAGGAUAGGGCUUCCUUGACAACUUCCCAAAUUGACAUGCACUGCAAACUGGACCUUUGUUAGACAAUUUAGGUAAGUUAUCAAGUAAACCAGCGAAACUUACUUGAUUAAGAGAGGGAUAGUUGCAGUGCCCAAGCCGCUUAUGCCAUAAGUUUGUCUCAUCAACAACUGUGGUUGCUUGCAUGCAGGAAUCAUUCCAAUUUAGGGAGAAGAUUCUGUUUCUCAUUAGAAUAGUCAUCAAAUAAUCACCUGUGGGUUCAUAGAUAGUACAUGCAGAAUCUUGAAACAAUAAAACAUAAGAGUUUUCCACCAUUUGUCCAACACUCAACAGAUUUUGAGUGAUGGUUGGAACUAAAAGAACCUCAGAGAUGUGCUUGGUGCCAGAACAAGCUUGCACACUGACUGUCCCUUUUCCUACCGCAUGUAGGUAAAGCCCGUUGCCUAUUUUAACUUGUGAGCUAUAAUUCUUGUCCAAAUCAACAAACAUAGCUUCAAAAGGAGUCAUAUGAUUGGAGCAUCCACUAUCGAGCAGCCAUUGAAGAUUAUCAACUUGAUGAGAAUUUGUCAGUGCCAUAAACAAUGUUUCUUCAGCCAUUACAGCUUUUUUAGUCUCCUUUGCUGGUUUUUCUAGUGCAGUUUGUUUGUUCUUACAAACUUUCUCCAUGUGACCAACUUCACUGCAAGCUUUGCAUUUAGCAUCUGGCCUAAACCAGCAGUGUUCUUCUGCAUGGUUCCGUUUCUUGCAAUAAGAACACAUUUUAAACUUGUUUGUUUUGCUGGAUGAAUGACUUGGUUGGUAAGGCUUUUUAUCUUUCUCUUUGAAAUUUUUCUUAGAGCCAGAAUCAAUGUUGCCUUUCCCUUUGUGUUUAGCAACUAAUGCACCCUCCACAGUAGCAUCUUGACGUGCAAUUCUCCUCUGUUCAUAAGCUUCAAGUGCACUCACUAGCUCAGUAACAAUGAGUUGAGUCAAGUCUUUAGUUUGCUCUAAAGAGGACACUGUUGCUUCAAAUUUUUCUGGAACAUUGUUAAGAAUUUUUUCAACAAUCCGUACCUCUUGCAAGUCUUCACCUAGCAUGCGAAUCUGAUUUACCAGACGCAUAACUCGAUCAGUAUAAUCCAUGACAGAUUGAUUGUCUUUCAUUCUGAGAAGCUCAAACUCUCUUCGAAGAUUUUGAGCUCGCAUUUGUUUUGUUCUUGCAGAGCCCUGAAACUCCUCCUGGAGUUUGUUCCAUGCUUGCUUUGCAGUCUUGCAACCCAUGAUUCUGCUAAAUAUUGUCUCAGACACAGCUGCAUGGAUGAAGGACAAAGCCCUGUAUCGCUUUGCUACCUCUUCAGAAUACUGUUUUAUCUGAGUAAUUGUUGCAUUAUCUCUCAACGCAAGUGGCUCUUCCUCAGAUUCUAUGGCAUUCCAGAGGUCAUAUCCUCUGAGAUAGGCCUCCAUCUUAAUGGCCCACACUGAGUAAUUUUUGCCAUCAAAGAUUGGUGGAGAUGGGUGAGAAACAGUGGGAGUCGACAUAUUACUGAAGGUUGAGAAAUUUGAAGAAUGGUGGCUUGACUUUAGAUGUAUGGUGGUUUUUUUUUUUUUUGGUAUUUCAGGUCCAACUGAGAUCUUAUAUUUGCAAGAGCUCUGAUACCAUGAUAUAUUUCUAUUCUAUAAGAGAGAACCAGAUGACAAAGAUGCUCUGUUAUAGAACUAAAACAGAAAGGCUUACAAAACUUGAAAGAAAAACUAUCGAUGGUUACAAGAAACUGCAAGUAUGCUUCAUUGAUCAGAUUAAAGUACAAGUUAAAUAUGCAGCAGGAAUGAUUAACACUUGUAACAUACUAUAGACACAGGUGUUAUGGCAUAAAGACAACAAACUCAUGCAGCUAUACACGUAGGUGAUGGAAUUAGUAGAAAACAUGCAUGAUUAAUGACCACUACAAUGAAGCAAGGUAUAACAAAAGCUUGACAAGUGUGCAUUAUCAUGCAAGUAUUAACUUAACAAUGCCAAUGUUGUUCCUAAUAAGAGUUUAAUGGCAUUUGAAGUGAACUUCAUUUUCCAAGGGACUUUGGUGUUGUCCUUGACCCAAAGGAUGACAUCGGUAGAACCUCCAGCUGGUGGUUAGAUGCCCAUGGUGAAGCAAAAAAGAAGUUAAGUCCCUGAUGGAUGGCUUGAAGUUCAGCAAAGUUGGAGUCUUCAAUGCCUAUGUGGUGAGAGAAGGUUCCUCUUAUGAAAUCGUGGUGGUCACGAAGAAGUCCGCCAAUGCCAAUGGGCCCUAGCUUCCCUUUUGCAGCUCCAUCAAUGUUAAGUUUAAGGGUGCCGAGUGGAAGUGGUUCCCAUAUGACAUUCGUCCUUUGCCUUGCUUUCACUGCAUUGUUAGAGAAGGUAGUGGGUUGAAAGAAACAAGUGUCAGUUGGAAUGUGCCCUAAGUUCCAUCUGCCUUUGCACCAUAAAGAAUGUCAGAGGACAAUGAUGUCCACAAUCUGUUUGGAGUUAAAAGUCUUCCCUCUGAAAAUAUUUUUGUUUCGACACAGCCAAAUGGUCCACUGAGAUGCAAAGAAGAGCAUUUUUCAAGAGUCUCUUUUUUGAGAAGGGCAAAGGUAUAACAUCCAUGCAGUGAAGAAUGAAGUGGGACUGCUUGGAGCAACCCAUUAGAUAUUCCAUUUGCUAUAACAUUCAACCCAAGUUUCCCAGGCAGUUACACAAUUAAAGAGAAGAUGAAAAGGGAUUUCAGGGAAAGACUUACAAAAGGUGCACAUGGCUGCAUCACUACUAAUGAUACCUCUGUCCAUCAAGAUUGCCUUGGCUGCCAAUUUCGCAUGGAGAACCUGCCAACAGAAUGUUUCAGCUUUGGGAUGAGCUAACCCGAUCCAUAAGAGCUUCCAAAGGUUGUCUGGUCCAUUUUGGGAAUCAUAGAAGGCUCUACAAAAGGUUGGCUUCCGAAUGAUGAAGUCCUUAUCAGAGGGAUGAGGAUGGGUGCUUUGGAGAAGGGUUUGAGAUCUGUCCAUUGUUUAGUUUCCCAACUUAAGGGUUGUCUUCGCAAUUUAAUAUCCCAAAUCCACUUUUUGUCGUCCCAUCGACCCGAAUCAGUAAUGGUGGCCUUUUUAUCAACUGCUAGAGCAAAGAUUCUUGGGAAGAAACUAGCUAUGUGAAAAUCCUCGAUCCAAGCAUCCUUCCAAAGGGAGAUUUUUGAGCCGUCACCAAGAGAGUGAUUGAAACUAUUGGAAACCAGAUCAUGAAAUUUGCUAGACGGUUGCAAAUGUUCAGUAAUGUGUUUCCAUAAAAGGGAGGGCUUAAAAGAUUUCUCAAAAGGCAUCAUGGAGCAUAUGGAUCGAGCUUGUUUUUCAUUAAGACAACCUCCUUCCAUAGGCUGUUGGGAUUGCUGGUACAACGCCACAACUGUUUAUUAAGAAAAGCUCGAUUUUAGAUACCAAAGUCUGUGAUUCCAAGACCCCCUUAGUCCUUUGGGUUGUAAAUUGAGUGCUAGUUGAUAUAAUGCAUUUUUCUCUUAUUCGAGCUACCAGACCACAGGAAGUUUCUUUGGAUGCUUUCUAGUUUCUUUUUCACAGUUGCCGGAAGCUGAAUGAGUGAAAGGUAAUGCAUGGGCAAAUUGGACAACACUUAAUUAAUGAGAGUCAGGCGGCCUCCCAUGGAGAGAAAAUGACCCAUCCAAUUGACAAGUUGUGUAGACUCUAUAUCUGUUUGACGAUAACAAACAUUCCUCAUUCGUUAAUAUCUAACCUUGUUACUUAAGUAUGUAGUAUUUAAUUUAAUAUCCUUAACAAAGUUAUCCAUUAAAGGCAAGUCAAGAAGCAUGCUAAACUUAAUGCAGAGUUAAUCAAUCAAUAAGGAAAGAGCAAGUAGUGAACAAAACAGAAUCUUGGUAACUAAUUAACAAGGGACCAUGGCUGUGUGAUAAGGUAAAGCAAAACAGAAAUAUGUUAAUCGGUUAAGAAGUCUGAUUAAUCGGUUAGAGCAUAAAGUUCUAGUUUAUUCAAGUACCAAAAACAAGUUUGAAAAAUAUAAUUGAUCAUUGAAGGGACCCAAAAUGGAGAAGUUCAAAAUUCGAAAAAUUUCUAGUUGAUUAAAGCUGAUUUUAAUCGGUUAUGGUUGAAGGAAGUAUAGCUUCAAUCAGCUAAGGGAAGAGCUAACCAAUUAGAGGAAGACUGCUAUGUAGACAAGAAUGAAAACAAAAAGUUUGUAAUCGGUUGGAGUCUCUUGUAAUCUGUUAGAGCUAAGAACUCAACAGUAAGACAGUGCAAGGCAGAGAAGUUGUAAUUGAUUAGAGUUGCCUGUAAUCGGUUAGUCGAAGUCUGUCUCCCUUUUUUUAAAUUUAAACACUAAAGGAUAAAAUAACAGUUAGAAGUGCAUUAUAGUUGUUUAUAACGGCUAGAAACUAUCUCCAACAAAAAAUCUGACUCCCCAAGUAUGAAGGAAGCUUCAACGAUCAAAGAAAAGAAUUUUCGAAAAGAAAAAAGUCAUUUUGAGUAAAAAGCAAAAUAUUUUUCACCAAAAGCACUUAUUCGUCAUUUCAAAUCCAAAAAAAGUGUUUGAGCUUGAUUGUAAUCUGUCCAAACUUGUAAAGGUACUUAGUUGUACUUUAUUUUUUUUUCUUGAAAAAUUAGAGUGUGGGAAGCACUCUAAAGCUUGUUGUAAGGGAUUAGAGCUUGAGUUGAGAGCUCACCUUGUAAAAGCUUGGUGAAAGCUGUUAAUUCCACCAAUAUAGUGAAGUUGAGUUGAAAAUCCUUGAUUGAAAAAUCAAGGUAGUGGAUAUAAGUCAAGGGGACCAACCCAUUAUAAAUAGUCUUGCAUUGUCCACUUCCUUUUACCCUUCUUUACUUGUUGUCUUUCAACCACUACAAGCUUUACAUUCAUUUUUCUCUAAUUGGUUAAAAACUCUAUCAUUCAAAAAGGGCUAAACUUAAAAUUUUUAAUGUUAUUCACCCCCUAUCUAGCACUCUUUUGGGACCAACAAGUGGUAUUAGAGCCAUACCCUCAAAAUUAAAGUUUUACAUCCUUAGGGAAGAUCCACUUAGCUUUGCUAAAGUUAGUUGUUGCUUAGGGUCAAUCCACGAAUAAGCCUCCUUUAUUUGAUGGAUCAAAUUAUGUUUAUUGGAGCAUUAUGAUGUCUAUAUAUAUUAGAACCCUUGAUUAUGAAAUAUGGGAUGUAAUCACAAAAGAACCCUAUGUUCCCACCUCACCUAGUUUUGUAACCGAUGAAAAAAUGCCUAAGCCAAAGUUGAGUGGACUGAAGCUAAACUCAAAAAGGUCUAAACAAAUUUUAAAGCCAUCAGCACCCUUCAUUGUGCACUACUCCCUUAGAAUUCAACAAAAUCUCUAAUUGUACUACAAUCAAAGAGAUUUGGUAUAAAUUUAAAGUCAUUCGUGAAAAGACUUCAGAAGUAAAGGAGUCUAAAAUUGCCUUACUCAUCCAUAAUUAUGAAAUAUUUAAAAUGGAACCCGGUGAAGAUGUAACUACCAUGUUCAAUAGGUUUAUCAAUAUUACAAACAAGCUCAAUCAAUUUGGAAAAACCAUCCCUAAACAUUAAUUAGUAAAAAGGCUUCUUAGAUGCCUCUCUAAAAGCUAAAAGCCAAAGGUCACGGUUAUCCGAGAGGCCAAGGAUCUCAAUGUGGUCACACUUGAUAAAAUUUGUGGCUGUCUCUUCACACAUGAACUUGAAAUAAAGGAAGAAGAAGAGGAAGAAAAAAAAGAAGCCAAAGAGAAAAGAAAAAAUAUUGCACUCAAGAUUAGUACAUUUGAGAAAUAACUUGAAAAAUAAUCAAGUGAUGAUGAUGAAGAGUUAGCAUGAUGGCUAGAAGGUUUAGGAAGCUGAUGAGAAAAAAAAGACAUAAGGUUUUGAAGGAAAAAUUACAAAAAAGACUAAGGAAAAACAAACACAAAGAUGAUUCGAACAAGAAGGAUGAGAUUAUCUGCUUUGAAUGUAAGAAUUUUCAAAAAUGAUGAAGAAACUAAAGAAAGCGAUAAUGGCAGUAACUUGGUCCAAUGAUGACUCCUUAAGCUUAAAAGAAGAAGAAGAAAAAUUGGAAAAAAGAACGAAUUGCUAGUUGAUGGCAAGAUAAGAAGAAAUUGAGAUAACUUCUAAUUCAUGUGAUAUUUCUUAUGAUGAUUUACAAGAAGAAUAUGAUUGCCUAUAUGUUGAAUUUGAAAAACUUGCCUUUAAAUAUAAAAUUAUGAGGAAAAAAGGUGUUGCAUUGAAUGAAGAAUUAGAAAAAAUCAAGCAUGAGUACAACUCUAUUUUUGAUUAAAGGAACACGUUUCAAAUUAAACUAGAACAAUCCAAAACUAAUUUUGAAUUCUUGAAGCUUGAAUUGAAAAGCAAAACGUUAGAAUUACAAAGAGUUGUUGAUGAAAAUGUUGCACUUAAAGUUUUUUUUAUAUAUAAUUAGGGAAGAAGGGAUUCGAACCCAGCUUUCUUGGCAAGGGGACCAUGCACUAACCAAUUAGCCAAAUGCUCAGAUGCAAUGUUGCACUUAAAGUUGAUAGAGAAGAAAGACUAAAAUUGAAAUCAAAAGAUGAAGAAGAGUUUAAAAGAAAAACAAGCCUUUAAAGGAAAACUAAUGCUAUCUCAUGUCACUACUCUGUGUGUGGUAGGAAAGGUCAUUUGUCUUAUGAAUGUUUCCAUUCUAAUAAAAUCUUUCCUAAAACCAAAUUGGUUUGGGUUCCAAAAAGAUCCUAUGUCAUUGCUAACCCCCAAAGACUCAUCAAAAUAUAAGUACCUUUAAAGAAAAAUUGAAAAUUUGUUUUGUAGGUUAAGUAAGGAAGGAUUAAUGAUUCGAAGCUCAACUAAAGAAAAGACAACCUUGGUACUUAGACAAUGGCUGCUCGAGACACAUGACCGGCAAUGAAAACUUAUUUGCUAAGCUUGAUAGGAAGAAGUGUGGUAGUGUUUUUUUUAGUGAUGACUCCAAGGGUAUUAUCCAAGGAAUUGAAACCAUUGGUAACACAUCUCAAACAUAAAUCAAGCAUAUUUUAUUUGUUAAAAGUUUAAAACAUAAUUUGCUAAGCAUUAAUCAGCUUUAUGAUAAAGGUUUUAGAGUAUGCUUCGAUUCCCAUGCAUAUCAAGUGAUUAAUGUUAACACUAACAAAGUAGCAUUCAUUGGCAAAAGAAUUAAGAAAAUGUAUGUCAUUUUUCUUGAUGAAAUUAAGUCUAGUAAAUCAUGCUUUAUUGCCAAUGAUGUUUGUGAUAGUUGGUUAGGACAUGCUAGUAUGCACAUAAUUUCAAAACUUUUGAGAAAAAACUUAGUCAUUGGACUUCCAAAGAUAUCAUUUGAAAAUGAUAAGGUUUGUGCUGCAUGUCAAUAUGGAAAACAAGUUAAAAGUUCCUUUAAAUUUAAGAAAGUCAUAUCAACUUCUAGGUCUCUUGAACUAUUACAUGUUGACUUUGUUUGGACCAAUCACUGUUACUAAUCUAGGAGGCAAGUCAUAUGGCUUUGUUUUUGUAAAUGAUUACUCUAGAUAUACAUGGAUAUAUUUUCUUACUCAUAAAGAUGAUGCAUUGCUAAUUUUUGUUAAACAUUGUAAAAGAGUUCAAAAUGAAAAAGGCCUUUCCAUUCUUAAUGUUAAGAGUGAUCAUGAUGGUGAAUUAGAAAGUGAAAAUUUUGAAAUCUUUUGUAAUGAAAAUGGUUUUGAUUACAAUUUUUCUGCUUCUAGAACUCCACAACAAAAUGGAGUUGUUAAAAAAAAAUAGGACCUUAAAAGAAAUGGUAAGGACAAUGCUUUGUAAAAACAACUUGCCAAAAUAUUUUUGAGCUGAAGCUAUUAAUACUGCAGCUUACAUUUUAAAUAGAGUUUCCAUUAAAGCUAUGAUUUUUAAAACCCCUUAUGAGCUUUUCAAAGGAAGAAAGCCAAAUAUUUCGCACUUAAGGAGUUUUGGAUGCAAAUGCUUUGUUUUACAUAAUAGAAAACACACCUUGAGAAGGUUUGAUGCUAGGAGUAAUGAGGUAAUUUUCUUAAGCUAUGCAUUGAACUCUAAAGCAUAUAGGCUAUUUAACAAAAGAACUUUAGUUACUGAAAAGUCAAUUCAUAUUGUUUUUAUGAGACUAAAGCUGCACAAAGAAAGGUAAUGCUUGAUGAUGAUGAUACAGAUAACAUUAAGAAGAAAAUGGAAAAGAUGAGCUUGGAUAGCAAAGAAAAUGAUUAAAAGAGCUCAAAGGAAAAAAAAAAUGAUGAUGAACCACCAUUAGAAGACUUGCAAAGAGUUGAGGAACAGCACAAUGAUCUUCCUAGAAGUUAGAGAUUUGUAAGGAAUCAUCUUCAAGAACUCAUCAUUGGUGAUACAUCAAAAGAUGUCAAAACUAGAAGGGGAUUAAGAGAAGUUUGUGAGUAUCUAACAUUCACAUCACAAGUGGAACCAAAGAACUUUAAGGAAGCUGAAAAGGAAAAGAGUUGGAUGAUUACAAUGCAAAAAGAAUUGGGCCAAUUUGAAAAGAACAAGGUUUGGACCUUAGUUCCAAGGCUAACCAACCAUCCAAUUGUUGGUAUGAAAUGGGUAUUUAAGGACAAGAUGGAUGAGUUGGUAAAUGUGGUAAGAAAUAAAGCAAGGUUAGUUGCUCAAGGCUACAAUCAAGAAAAAGGUAUUGAUUAUGAUGAAACCUUUACUCUAGUACCUAGAUUAGAAGCUAUUAGACUUUUACUUGACUAGGCAUGCUUUAUGAACUUUUAAUUAUUUCAAAUGGAUGUUAAAAGUGCAUUUCUUAAUGACUUUAUACAAGAAGAGGUAUGUGUUGAACAACGCCCUGAUUUUUAAUUGUUUGAUAAAAUUGAUCAUGUAUAUAAAUUGCAUAAAACUCUCUAUGGAUUAAAACAAGGUCCUAGAGCUUGAUCUGAAAGACUUUCUAAGUUUUUAAUUGGAAAAGGAUAUUCAAGGGGGAGUGUAGAUAAUACUUUGUUUAUUAGGAAAAAUGAGACCGAUUUGAUUGUUGUUCAAAUUUAUGUUUAUGAUAUAGUUUUUGGCGCUACUAAUGAAAGAUUGUGUGAGAAUUUUGCUAAGAAAUGCAGGGAGAAUUUGAAAUGAGCAUGAUGGGAGAACUAAAGUUCUUCCUUGGUCUACAAAUCAAGCAAUGUAAGGAUGGAAUAUUCAUCAAGCAAGAAAAGUAUACCAAGGAAAUGCUGAAGAAAUUUGGAGUGAUGAAUAUAAAAUCAAUAAGAACUCUUAUGAGCCCCUCCACAAAGCUUGACAAAGAUGAUAAAGGGAAAGAUAUGGACCAAAAGCUCUAUAGAGUUUUGAUUGAUUCACUUAUUUAUCUUACUGUAAGUAGACCUGAUAUAGUAUCUAAUGUGUGCUUAUGUGCAAGAUUCCAAUUAUGUCCUAAGGAAUCACAUUUGACUGCAGUGAAAAGGAUUUUUACAUAUCUCUCGGAUACUUAAAGCUUAGGCUUAUGGUAUCCAAAAGGUUCAUCUUUCAAUCUUUUAGGUUAUUUCGAUAUUGCUUUUGGUGGUAGCAAAAUUGAUCAGAAAAGCACUAGUGGUACUUGUCAAUUCCUUAGAAACAUGCUUGUGUCUUGAUCUUGCAAGAAAUAAAAUGUUAUUACUCUAUCAACUGAGUAUAUAUCAUUAGGUAGUUGUUGUGCACAAAUUUUAUAGAUUAGGCAAUAACUAAAUAAUUUUGGAAAAACUAUGCAUAAAAUUCCCAUUUAUUGUGAUAAUAUGAGUGUCAUAAAUAUCUCUAAAAAUCCUAUUCAACACUCUAAAACAAAGCACAUUGAAAUAAGAAAUCAUUUCAUUAGAGAUCAUGUGCUUAAGGGAGAUAUUGAAAUAGAUUCUGUAUACACUUUGCACCAAUUGGCUAACAUUUUCACAAAACCAUAAAAUAAAGAACAAUUUUGUAGAAUUAGAAGAGAUUUAGGAAUGAUUGAUAUUAAUGAAGUCUAAAUUAUGCUGAAAUGAUCAUGUUUUUUAUGAUAUAUUUCAUGGUGAUUGUGUUUAUUUCUUGGUGUAAUUGAUUAGAGAAUAUUUUUUUAUUAGCUAAAAGGACCUAACAUGAAAGAUAAGAUUCAUUUUAAUCAGUUAAGGACCUUCCUAAUCAAUUAAAAUAGUUCUGUGGUGAAAGAGUAAACCUAAAGAAAAAAGAUAUUAAUUAGUUAAUAGCUCCGUUAACUAGUUAAUACAAUUCUGGUAAUUAAAAAGGUUACAAGUCAGAAGCAUAGUAAUCAAUUAAGGCUUACUCUAAUCGAUUAGAGGAAAUCUGUGGAAGAAAGAAACUACCGUACGAGAAUUUUCUUUAAAAUAAAAAAACUAUGUAGUUGGUAUAGGACAUCACCCACUCAAAACAUGGAUAACCGGUUAUUAACUCCCCAUAUAAAGACCUUCCACCUAUUUAAAGAGUUAGUUACAUUGAAAAUCAAUAUCCAUGAGCCUUUAGAUUUUCCUCUUUACUUUCCUUUGAAACCCAAGAAACCUUAAGAAACAAAAUCUCAUGGAAAAAACUUCUCUUACCCACAAAGUAGCUAAAAAGGGAAAAGGAAAAAGGCAAAAUGAUGAUCUUCCUUCACAUUCUCUUAAGAUGAAAGGAAAAUAAAAAAACCUUCAACAGAGAAGAAGAAGGGAAGCAAAAAGAAAGCGACAGAGAAAGGUAAAAGAUCAACGGAGGCAAGAGCCCCCACAAGCAAAAAUAGUGAUUCAUCCUUCCGAUUUCGAAUUCACUUGCAUGCUGAUAGGUUUAGAAAGAUUGACAAUGCUUUAAUCUCUUGUGGGAAGUUUUCUAAUUAUGGUAGUUAUAGUGAUGCUCUUGUAGUGAAAGAGGAUUUAGAAAAUUAUUUUGAAACAUUAAAACUGAAGUUAAUGAGUACAUUUAGAGAUAAGAUGUUUAACCCCACUUUAGUUAAAGAACUUUACUCUAGCAUUGCUUUUGACAAAACUGAAUUGGAAGAACAUGAUGAGUUUGUUGAACUUAAAUUUUCAGAUCAGUGCUCAAGAUUUAAGAGAAUUCCUAAAAACUGAAUGUAAAAUAGAAGAGUGCAAAAUGCUUAAGAAAUGUAAUCCAAGUCAUUUUUGGGAGAUUAUAAUUGGAAAGAAUGAGAAGUUUCCUUCCAGGAGCUAUGCUAGUGACAUUAAGAAUGCACAGUUUAAGAUUCUCCAAUAUUUCAUAGCAACCACUGUACAUGGAAGAAGUAGUAGUUUUAGUUAUGUGAGUGCACAAGACUCGUGGUUGAUGGAAGCAGUUUUCAAUGAAAUCCCACUAAAUGUGGGAAGAUAUAUGGUAGAAAGAAUCAAGGCAACCCUACUCGGGGCACAAAGCAAACUUGCUUUUUGGGAAUAUUCUUACAACUUUAGUGAAUAAGAAACGAAUUUGGAAUAAAAGAUUUCAAUAUGAUAUUACAAUGAUCAAGGGAUAUUUCUAGGAAGUGUGAUGAAAAUGGGAUACAAGAUAAACAAGAAUAAGUAUUAAAAUCACAAAAGGUACACCUUUGCCCCCUCCAACUGAUAGUCCCUCAACACCUUUCACCAAGGUUAAUCAAACCCCCCAUCUAGGUGACAUAAUGUUUAAUCUUCUCAUGAGAAUCGAUGGGAAGUUAACUGAUCAGGCUACAAAGAUUACAAAGAUUGAAAAGAAACUUUAACAGCUUGAAGCCUUGUUUCAUCAAGCAAGGGAAACAAAAUUCCCUAAACCUCUAGCACUGCUCCAAGCCAAUCCAAUGAGAAGACUGCUAGAAAACAGUUUGAAAUUCAAGCUUUUGAUCAUAAAUGGGAAACUAGAAAAGAAAUGCCUGAAAUUGAAUAUAUGGAUUAAAAUAAAAUGGGGAGUUUUGAAAACAAAGAAGCUGAACCUGAAGAAGAAAUCAAUAAAGAAAAAAAAGAACAAGGGUAAGAAAGGGAAAAUAGAAAAAGUGAAAAAGGAACUCAAAGGUGAGAAAGAGCACACAAUUGAUGGAAAGAGUGGUGCAAGUUCUCUUGGAGAAUCUGAAGAAAUACUAGUCUCUAACUUUAUCAGAGAUAUUCUCAAGGAGGCUAAAGCUGACCAGGCACAACAACAAGUAGAAAUACAUCAAGAAGUUCAGUUAACUCCACAUAAGACAAAAAAAUAAAAAAAAUAAAAAAUAAAAACUCCACAUAAGACAAAACAAAUUGCAAAAGAAGCAAAUCUAGACAAAGGUAAAGCUAUUGAUAUUGCUUCUGUCGCAAAGCAAACUACUGGAAGAGGAAGAAAAACUAUGGCUACAAAGACCAAAACCUUCAAAAGAAGAAAGUCUACUAGACUGGCAUUAACCUCCACUCAAAAGUUCUCUAAACCUCCAGCAUCUCAACCUAUCUCAUCCACUUCAUCCUCAUCAGUCUCCUUAUCCCACUCCUCUCUCAAACCUCUCAAUGUUCAUUUUGGCACUGAUGAGUCCUCACCUUCCUUUAAUUCAGAUUAGGACCUUUUUUUAAAUGAUGCCAAAAAGGGAGAGAAAACUAGGAAGAUAAGAAAAUAGGAUCAAGAAGUAGAGCUAAUAGGAAUGAUGAACUCAGUCUUUAAGAUAUGCUUUUAUUUGUUUUGUUUUGAUGUUUUAUGGUAUGGUUUAUGAGACAAUGUUUUAUGCUAUGAACAAUGGUUGAAUGAUGGAAUUAUAUUUAUGUUUAUGUGGUUUAUAUUGUGUUGAGAUUUCAUAUCUGUAAGUUGAAAUUAUGUUGAACAGCUAGACAUUGAUGUCUAUAAAUAUGUUCUUGUGAUUGAAUGUCUUUAUAUUGGAUAAUUUUAUUAAAGCAUAUAUUUAGGUGGAGCACAUAUUUAAAGGGAACAAUCCCAAAUCUGCACAUAAAUUCUUUCUACAGACAUUACACUCUUAAUCUAUGUGCAUUUUCUCAUCAAUAAAAAAAAAAAAGAAUCUUGACUACAUAUGUUUUUUAUAACAACAAAAUAUUCCUUAUUCAUUAAUGUUUAAUCGUGUUAUUUAAGUAUGCAAGAUUUAAUUUAAUACCGCUAACAAAGUUAUCCAUUAAAGGCAAGUCAAGAAGCGUGCUAAACUAAAUACGAAGUUAAUCAAUCAAAUAAGGAAAGAACCAAUAGUGAACAAAAACAGAACCUUAGUAACUGAUUAACAAGGGAGCUUAAUCAAUUAAGACAUGGCUAUGUGAUAAGUUGAAGCAAAACAAAAUUAUGCUAAUCUAUUAAGAAGUCUGGUUAAUCAGUUAGAGCACAAAGUCCUAGUAUAUUCAAGCGUCAAAAAUAAGUUUAAAAAUAGAGUUGACCGUUGAAGGGAGCCAAAAUGGAGAAGUCAAAAUUCGAAGAAUUUCUAGUUGAUUAAAGCUAAGUUUAAUCGGUUAUGGUUGAAAGAAUUAUAGCUUCAAUCAGCUAAAGGAAAAGCUAACCAAUUAAAAGAAGAUUACUAUGUAGAGAGGAAUGAAAAUAGAAAGUUUGUAAUCAGUCAGAGUCUCCUGUAAUCGGUUAGUGCAAAUAACUCAGUAUUAAGACAAUGCAAGGUAGAGAAGUUGUAAUCAUUAGAGCUACUUGCAAUCGAUUAGCCGAAAUCUAUCUUUCUUUUUUUGAAUUUAAAUACUAAGAGAUAAAAUAAUGACUAGAAAUGCAUCAGAGUUAUCUUUAACGACUAGAAACUAUCUCCAACAGAAAAAUCUUACUCCCUAAGUAUAAAAAAAAAGCUCCAACAGUCAAAGAAAAGAAUUUUUUAAGAGAGAAGAACCAUUUUGAGCUAAAAGAAAAAUAUUCUUUACCAAAAACACUUAUUCCUCAUUCCAAAUCCAAAAAAAGUGUUUGAGCUUGAUUGUAAUCUGUCCAGACUUGUAAAAGUACUUAACUAUACUUCUUUUUUGUUUUUCUUGAAAAAUUAUACUUAGCUAUACUUCUUUUUUUGUUUUUCUUGGAAAAUUAAAGUGUGGGAAGCACUCUAAAGCUUGUUGUAAGGGCUUAGAUCUUGGGUUGAGAGCUCACCUUGUAAAAGCUUGGUGGAACUGUUAAUUCCACCAGUAUAGUAAGUUGAGUUAAAAAUCCUUGAUUGAGAGAUCAAGGUAGUGGAUGUAGGUCAAGGGGACCGAACCACUAUAAAUAGUCUUGCAUUGUCCACUUCUCUUUACCCUUCCUUAUUUGGUGUCUUUCAACCACUACAAGCUUUACAUUCAUUUUCCUCUAAUUGCUUAAAAGCUCUAUCAUUUAAAAAGGGUUGAGUUUAAAAUUUUUAGUACUAUUCACCCCUCUCUAGCACUUUUUUUAAUACCAAUAAGUUGGGCAUUAAAUUUAUCUAUGAUUGGCUACUACAUACUCAAAGAGCGAGGAUUUGCCCCUAAUGGAACACUUAGGUAAUAUGAAGGAAGGGUGUUAAUCUUACAACCCACCAUGAUAGCACAUUACUCAAUUAAGGUUUGAUCAACACCAAUACCCACAAAGUUGCUCUUGGAGAACUUAAUCUUUAAACUAGAGAUAGCUUGAAAGAUUUUAAGGAUCCUUGAAAGAUUAAUAACUUGGUUCAAAUAAGGUCCAAAAAAGAAAGUGUCAUCUACGAAUUAUAAGUAGGAAAUAGACAAUUAUGAAGUUUCAACCUUGACUCUCUCAAAAAUCUUUAGAUUAAUGGCCUUGUGGAUGAAGGUACUCAAACAUUUCGCAACAAUGUUGAAGAGUUAAGGAGAAAAGGGGCACCCUUGAUGGAGACCUCUUUAGGUUUUGAACUGUGGUGUGGGAGUUUAGUUCAAAAGGAUAAAGAUCAAGGCUAUAAAGAUGCAUUGCAUAAUAUACCCUCUCCACUUAGUGCCAAACCUCAUAGGCUUCAUAAUAAGAUUCAAAUGGUCCCAGUCAAUGUAAUUAAAUGCUUUUUUGAAGUCCACUUUAAAGAAAAAACUAAGCUUCUUGCUUUAUUAAGCGAAUCAAUAGGUUAUUAGCAAUAAAGGAGCAAUUAAGGAUUUGUCUGCCUUUCACAAAUGCAAAUCGAUUGUUCUUAAUAACAAUGCUAAUAACAGCCUUCAAUCUAUUAGCUAAGACUUUAGCUAAGAUUUUAUAAGUGCUUCUUACCAGACUUAUUAGUCGAAAAUGAGAAAGAGUGGAAAGCCCCAUUGAUUUUCGAGAUCAAUGUAAUGAAGGAGGAAUUAAUGUUCGGAUUGAAUCUUUCUGUGGCAAAGAACUCAUUCUUGAAAGAAAUGAUCUUAGCUUUGAAAAAUUGGCCACUGCCGUUUGAAAAUAUUCAUAUUGAAGCCAUCCGGGCCAAGGGCUUUAUUUCCUUCACAUUAUUGAACAGCACUCCAUAUUUUUUUUUUCAAGAAAGUAGCUUCAAGAUUAACAUUAAGCUCAUCACUAAUUUGAUUAAAGCAACAAUUAAAUUCCUUAAUUUUUAGUGUGUCCUGUUUCCUAAGAAAGUUCUGAAAGUGGGAGAAAACCUCACUUCUGAUGGAAGAAAGAUCAUGAGAGAUGACACCGUUGCACUAGAGAUGGUGGAUACUGUUGAUUCUUUUUUUGUUAGAAGCAAUAAGAUAAAAAAACCUUGAGUUUCUAUCUCUUUGUUUAGUCCAUUAGAGGUAGCCAAAAACGCUCCUCUCUUAUACAUAGGUCCUUGUGUCUGCUUUUAAAAGAAAAAUAGUUAGCUUUCUCAAUGAGGGUGAGCUCUCUAAUCUCAACCUCUUUUUUGAGUAAAUCAAUUUCCUUCUUAAGAGUUAGAAUUUUUUUUUUUGUCCUCAUUAUACUGUUGCUGCUGCCAGGUCUUCAAAGAGAGCUUGAGAUUUUUUAUCUUGUCAAAAAUACCCGUGCUAAGAGUAGAGCCUUCUUUAAUAAGUUUCCAAGAGUUAUGAAGGUGAAAGGUUAACUCUUUGUUGUCAAGCCAAUUAGAGAAGAGUCUGAAAUCAAUUGGAUCCAUAAUGAGAGAGAUAGGAUUGUGGUGAGAGUUAAAGCGAGGAAAGACUUUUUGAACCAAAGCCAAAAAUUUCAAUAAAAGAUUACUACUCACAAAGAAUCUGUCAAGCCUGCACAUUAUUGAAAACUCUCUAUUGUCUGUCUUAGUAAAAAGACCACCCUAGAGAGGGAGAUCCAUCAACUCCAUGGUGUUUAUGAAAUUUGAGUGAUGAUUCAUACUAAUAAAAUUGAAAUUAUCCCCAGUUUUCUCAACGGCUAUUUUAACAGUAUUAAAGUCCCUACAAAUAACCCAAAGACCAUCGAAUGAACUUUUAAAAUUCACUACCUGAAGCCAGAGAGUGGCUUGUUCCAUAGUGCAAUUAAGGGCAUAAAUGUUGAUAAAAGUACAAGUGAUAUUAAUUGGUUUAAUAAUACUAGUGGUUACGAUGUACCUUUGCUUGAACGCUAUAGAAGAGAGAUCAAAGACGCUGUUAAACCAUAUAGAAAUGAGACCUCCUAACAUGCCUUCAACAUCUGCCACUUCAAAAGAAAAAUCAUUAUCCUUCCAUAAGGACUUCAGAAAGUUUUUGUGGAUGAAAUUUUUCUUGGUCUUUGGAGAAAGAGCAUUUUUAGUUUCUUGGAAGAAACAAGUCUCUUGACUACCUUUCUUUUAAUUCUGAAGCCUAAGCCCUUGACAUUCCAAGAGAUACUAUUAAUCAUAAUGAAGAGAAAGAAAUCGUGUAGAGAGUAGCUAGACUUAGUUGACUCCCUUCCCUUUGGUAGUUGCAAUGUUCGAGAAAUGCUGGGUAACAGUGCCCUAUUCUUCAUCCAGAACAAGACCUAAUAAAGAGUAAAUUUCAAGAGUAUUAUUUGCUUCUUACAUAAAAGUUGCAUUCUUUUUUACUUACCGUGUCAUGAGAAAAAUCCUAGUUAACUGGAGCUAGUAUGUCUUCAAUGCUUUUGAUAAUUUCAGAUAAGCCUCUCAAUUUCUUAGAAUUUUUCCCUUUUUUGAUGUUUUUCCCAUACUCUCUUUUUUUGCAUGCCUUUUCUCCUUCUAAACUAUAUAAAUUCUUCAAUUUUUUGGAAUUUUUCAAAUGAAGCAAAGGUCUCUUCUCUUUAGUUUUUUGUGCCUUGAUCUUAGCUUUGAGCUUAGAGAGUGGAGUGAAAUCAUCAUCAGAUGAUGAAACAUUAUCGUUGGGGACGUGUGGUUCCUUGGUUUUCUUACGAAUUUUCUUAAUUUUUAAAGUGGCUAUGUUGCCUAUGGAAUUCAUUGUGGCUUUGUGUUGUGUGUUUUGGGUUUGUCGAGUUGGAGUGUUUUUUUGUGCUUUUGGUGGGUUUAGGCCCUUCUGCUUCUGCUUUAAUUGGCCUACAACUAUUGAGGGUGACAUCAUAAGACCUGAGGAAAAUUUUAGCAAUGCAAUUAGGAUGUGGAUGAUGUUGUCGGGCCGGGUGGGUUAUGGGAUGGGGUCUAUUGCUAGGUUUGGUUUGUUCCCCCAUUGAAAGCACUUUGACUAGUCAAAUUUUUGUAGGCAUCUUUGCUGGUACUUGCUGACCUGUCCCAUCAAUUUGAAUUUGAAUUGCUAUUCCCACCCAUUGAAGCUUAAGAAUGGUUGUGCUUGGCUAUUGAUGAAAGUCUGAAAUCUUGAGGAUUAGGGAUGUCAAAGAUUUCUUCCUCUCUAAUGGUAUGAGUAUAAGGGAUGGAAAAUAUGUCUAUGGGCAAUUUUUCAAUUUUUUGGGCAAAAAUGUAAUUUUUUACUUUUACGGGGGAAAAAGUGUAAAUUUCAAAAAUUACUCCACCAAGACUUUGGAUAAGUCUGAGAAUUUUAUCUAAGCUAUGGAUAUGUGGGACAAGUGUAUGGUGAAAAUUUGGAAACUAAUGGAUGAAAUUUUAAAAAUGGGCCAAUGGAAAAGUGACACAUGGCACUUUUUAAUUGUUUAAUAUUAUUUUAAUGGAAAAUCAGCCCAUUUAAACCUCACACUAAGUGCUGGCCGGCCAUAAGGAAAGNNNNNNNNNNNNNNNNNNNNNNNNNNNNNNNNNNNNNNNNNNNNNNNNNNNNNNNNNNNNNNNNNNNNNNNNNNNNNNNNNNNNNNNNNNNNNNNNNNNNCCCGCGCCAACACACACACAUGUUCUGCCUUCUUGAAUGCUGUUAUUAAGGGUAGAUCUGUCAUCAAAGUCUAGAAGAUGAUCAAAACAUGAAAGAAUUUAUAGAGAGUCCAGCAUGAGUAGAAAGAGUCCUCAGAGCCAGGAGAUCAUCUAACAUCUCUAUAUGACCAAAACCAUAUACUAUGAAUUAUGACAAAGCUACAGGCACAACAUUUCCCCGGAAAACUUGAAAGCCAGUUCCAACUUUACUUGCAUGUUAAGGCAAGUGUCAUAUAUGACAAAGGUAUACACCAUGCACAAUUCUUAAACAUGGGAGCCUGCACACAAAAGCGUGAAGACUAGGAUGCUUACUGCUUACUAACAUUAGGCAAUUUAUGCAUACACAUAUAUACAGGGACUGAGAGAAAAAGAAAGACAAACCUCAGUAACAUAAGGCAGUUGAUGUGGGAGUGGAGGAUUUGCGAAAUCCUUCUUUGGCAGAACUCGGAUCGGUUGGCCUGCAAAUGUAGCAUCCUGCAAACAAGUGGCACAAACUUCAAUUCUGAAUGCUGAACAUCAUAAAAUGACAUCAGAGAGAAACAGAAAAGAGAUUUCUUUAUAUGUAUAUAAAGAGGAAAGGGUAAAAAGCCAAAGCUAUAUUAUGCUGAUUUUUUUAUGAAUGUGGAAAAUUAUAACCUGUUUAGGCAUGGACCAAUUGGUGCUCAAAAUCUGAAACAAGACACCUCACACAUGCAGUAUUAAAUAACGUAAAAAUGAAAAAUAAACUUUUGGCCCCAGAGACUUGCAAGAGCCGUACACUCAUAGGCACUACUACCUUUGGCAGUAGCUAACAAAAGUUCUGGCUUUGAGGAAUACUGAUCUCUAGCAAUUAGAAUGAAUAAAUUCAUUUUUUUCAUAGUCCUUUCCUCACACCUGAACCAUUUCCAUUCAAGGUAUGUAACUGAGAUGGGUAGUGGAGAAACAUAAAUAAUCAAAGUAAUAUAAUGGUAUGAACAAUUUUACAAUCCACAACCAUGGACAGAUCAUAUAGAUCAGGAAAUUAUUAUUAAAUUCUGAACGGAUUCAACAUAUAUAAAAGAAGCUCCUAAACAAAAAUUGGAAAAAUAUCGAAGUACAUAUAAUAUCAUAUAUAGGAUAUAACCAAUUCAGUAUAUAUCUGGACCUCUGGAUUAAGUGAUCAACAUAAAGAUGACAGAAAGCUAAUAAUUUCAAAGCGUUACUGUUUUAAGGAAACAAACACCCCAGCCACAUUGGCUCCACGUCAUUAAACACCAUAUUAAAUAUCACCUAAAUUACUGAAAGCAUUUGUUCGUUACAUUUAGGAGAAGAGCUGUUUGAUAAGCAUAUGGCUGCCUAAAUGUUACCAGAGCUGACUGUGAUCCAUCUUUAUUCGCACUGGUCACCAAAGAGAGAACCCUGAUUAAUACUGAUUGAAAAGCUAUUAUAAUUGGGAAGGAAAAGAAAGAAAGAAAGAAAGAAAAAAAGGGAUAUUGAAGCAACAAGCUUUGCAAGUUAUAAUUACCCCUGAAGCAGGAUUUUCUCGACGUGGCCACAGUAUGAGAAAAAUGCAGUGAGCUCUCCAAGAGUAACUGUAGGAGAAAGGUUGAGAACCACAACAGUUAAAUUCGGAUUAGCCAUUCUCGGUACAGUUUCUCGCUAUCCUUCUUGCAAUGUCUACCAUCUCUUUCUGCCCAUAAAAAGCAACGAUUGUAGAGCAGAUAAACAUGAAUAAUUUUUACUAGUGGGAGAAUAAAGUAUGAUAUACAUAUUUUAUACGAAUUUAUUCCCCUCUCAUAAAGCUUGAAAGCUUUCACAAUCUCUGCACUGCGUAGGAUAAAUAUCAAUAAGAUUCUACUAGUAAUCAUUAAGCUCAACAUUUCAAUUAAAAAUUGUAAACAUAGUGUUUAUUUUCAUUUGGAGGAACGGUGAAGGAAAACAAAUCUUUUUUUGUGUGAUUAAUGAUCAUGGUUAUGGAUAUGGAUGCGUACAAGCACAGCACAAGCAUCGCUGGACGGACUGGCCUUUGGACCCCGCCAUUUGUAGCCGCAAGCCUGCUGCAACAUGGGGCUCGCCUUGUUCAGUUAUGCGUCUAUUACUGAGACCUAUGAGCACUUAACCACGAAGUCCAAAAUUUGCUUUUUUUUUUUUAAAUAUAGUUUUUCUUAGCUAAUAGCAGAUAAUGUUUCCUCCUGUCAAUUUUGAUUAUUAAGUCCAUUAAAGGGCAUUAUCAGAGGGAAAUGAAAGAAAAAAAAAAAAACCAAAAGAAAACAGAAGAAAGAAAAAGGGUAGAAGGAAGGUGUCAUUAUCAGAGGCAAAGAUUCCGCAAGACACGUUGGGAGUUGCGAAUGCGUCCUUUUGUCCUUGCCAUCCUACUGCUUUUUGACUGUCCUUUUCUACGCUAAUGCCAAGAAUUGAGAGUAUUUUCAUUAAAAAGUCACAAAAACAAUUGGUUUAUGCUUCCAUCCCAACUUGUUAUAUAGCUGUUACGUAAAACCAACGUUGGUUCAUUGUUUCUCUUUUGUAUUACUAACUAGAAAUUGCUUCUUAUAAAUUAUGGAUGGAGGUGGAAUGACAGAUAAUUCUUUAAUCAAACCAAGUUUGUUGAUAUGAUCAAUGGCCGCAAAACUUGCUUCACUUGUCGUUUUUACAACAAUUAAUUAAUGCACCAACUAAGUGAGGAAUUAUUAAAUAAUCAAAAAAGAGAGAAAAUUUUCCAUUUUUCAAAUUGGUUAAUUAAUAUAACUAUUGUAUUGUAUGUAAUAAUUACAACUAAAAAAAAGCAUAAUAUAUAAUAGACUAGAGAGGUGGGUAGCAUGGAAAAAAGCGUGAGGAUCUCCGGCAAAGACCACGUCCUCCACCGUCUCUCAUUACUAGAAAUAAUAAUAAUAAUAAUAAUAGUGAAUUAAUAUAUAAAAAGAGACGAAAAGACAGCAAAUAAUAGUCGUCAAAAUCGGCGAUCCGACUCGUCUGGCGGAAAAUCGCCACGCGAGCGAAAUGUGCAAUCCUCUCUCUCUCUCGCUCUCUAACCAUCUUUGCUGGCCUUUCCUCCACCUUUCUGGCCUUUGAGCUUUUUGGAGAGAGACUCUAAUCUCCCCCGCUGAGCUCCGAUCCCUUUCAACACUUUACCCUUCACCGCUCCCUCUGCAACUCUGGAACCUUUGCCUUCCUCUCUUCCUCAUUCCCUCCUUAUUUCCAGGUAAAGUUCGACAAAAAAAAAAAAUCAAAUUUCCUUUUUUUUUUUUGGGUUUCUUCCUCUCCAUUCUCCAAAACAAAGGAAACCCAAUAAUAUAAUAAUGUGGCAAAGUGUUAUUGGCUUGCAGAGUUGCCGAGGGACAUGUUGUGGCAGUGAAAAGGACAAAGAAAGGUAGAGAGAUCUGAUUGUGGUUUAAAGAGAUGUACGAAACUCCGUUGCCUGCUCAGCUCUCUGAUUCCAACCGCCGCAUCAUCGACACCAGUGCCACUACCCUUCGAGUCUAUCAAGUUUGGAAAGGAAGCAAUGUAAUUUACUAUGUAUUUCCCAUUUUUCUGCUUUCCUUGUCUGGCAUUUAACAAUUAAUAACCUCUCUCCGC